RNAcentral lists this long non-coding RNA (60559 nucleotides) under Triticum aestivum (bread wheat). RNAcentral describes it as "long non-coding RNA (TAES_LNC014023)". Lineage: Eukaryota; Viridiplantae; Streptophyta; Magnoliopsida; Poales; Poaceae. The record is from RNAcentral.
GAACACUUGUACUCCAAGGUGAGCCAAACGGUGGUGGUGGACACGAGCAGCGACAUUCCGUGGGUGCAGUGCCUCCCGUGCCCCGCCCCGCAGUGUCACCUCCAGAAGGACCAACUCUACGACCCCGCCAACUCCAGCACGUACGCACCUAUCCCCUGCGGCUCCCCUGCCUGCACGGAGCUCGGUAGCAGCCACAGCAGUGGCUGCUCCGCCGGCUCCGACCAAUGCAAGUACAUCCUCGACUACGGCGACGGCAGGGCCACCGCCGGGACAUACGUCACCGACACGCUGACCUUGUCGCCCACCAUCGCGGUCAAGGGCUUCCGGUUCGGGUGCAGCCACGCCGUGAGGGGCACCUUCAGUGACCAGACCGCCGGCGUCCUGGCCCUCGGCGGUGGCGCUGGGUCCCUCCUUGCGCAGACCGCGGAGACCUUCGGCAACGCCUUCUCCUACUGCGUCCCGCACCCGAGCUCCGAUGGAUUCCUCUCGCUGGGCGGGCCGGUGGGGAACUCGUCGCAGUUCACGAGCACGCCUCUGAUCAAGAACCAACACGCUCCGACGUUCUACAUCGUCCGCCUGGAGGCAAUCACCGUGGCCGGGAGGCGGCUCGACGUGCCGCCGGCUACGUUCGCCGGUGGUGCGGUGAUGGACUCAGGGGCGGUCGUCACGCAGCUGCCACCGUCGGCAUACGCAGCGCUGCGGGCAGCGUUCAGGAGCGCCAUGACGGCGUAUGGCCCGCUUGCGGAUCCCGUACGCAACCUUGACACGUGCUAUGACUUGACCCGCUUCCCCGAGGUCAAUGUCCCCAAGGUGUCCCUAGUGUUCGCAGGCGGUGCCACCUUGGAGCUCGAGCCGGCGUCCAUCAUGCUGGACGGCUGCCUGGCUUUCACGGCCUCCCCUGGCGGCCACGGCUCCAUCGGAUUCAUCGGCAACGUGCAGCAGCAGACCUACGAGGUUUUGUACGACGUCGGCAGCGGGAGCGUGGGAUUCCGCAGUGGCGCGUGCUGAUGUGGCAAGCUGCAGGCCAACCACGGCCACUUGUACGUGUGAUGCAUGAUUGGCCCCCUAAUAUAUAUCUGGGUCUACAAGCUAGCUUGCUCAUUGGGAUGGAGCUAGUUUGUGAGUAUAAAUAAAUGCAAGAAAGAAGAUUGAUGUAAUACUUAUAUAUGCAUGUAAUUUUAUAUAGUUUUAUAUAUGCAUGUAAUUUUGUUCAACGGUUGUAUGAUUGUAAACCUUAUAAUAUAACCUUACAGAUUGUCAAGGAAUUCAACCGAUAUAAUUACUCUACUUAUUGAUGUGCAAUAAUGUAAUAUGACUAUUAAGAAGCAUUCUGAUUGUGGAGGUGGUUUCGCACUUUUUACUACAACAAAGGUGUUUGAAGGAUUCCUCGGCAGAAACUAGAACGCACUCCUUCAAUAAUUGACGAGCUAAUUGGUUGUUGAACUUCAGACAAAGAUUGUUGGGCAUGAAAGCGGUCACCAGCGGGUUGAUUGGCCUCACCAGCUCAUACGUGUUCAUGAGGCGUGGUUUUUUUCUUUUCUUGAUUAAUAGUAUUUGUUUCUGGAUGCUUGCAUUGUUAGAUUUGGAAGCGUUCCUACUCCUCGAUGAGGAGCCGGGUUGGUUUAUAUUGAACGAGGCAGAACAGCCCUGCCGUGGCUUACAAGAAGAGGAAACUGAUCGCAAGGAUUGGGUUGUAAGGAGGACUCCUAAACAGCUACGCGAGGGAGAGAGAUAGAAUAGAGUUGAGAUUACAAUGCGGAGAUAAACAUGAAUUCUAACACCCUCCCUUAAUCUCAACUAUUCUAUGUUUAGAUUCCUCUUGAACUCAUCAAAUGGUUUUGCUGGUAGUGCCUUGGUGAACCCAUCAGCCACUUGAUCUUUGGAAGGGAUGAACCGUAUCUCAAGUUUCUUUGCUGCAACCCUUUCAGGCACAAAGUGAAAAUCAAUCUCUAUAUGCUUGGUUCUUGCAUGAAACACUGGGUUUGCAGACAAGUAUGUUGGUCCCAAAUUAUCACACCAUAAACAUGAGAUGCGAUUCUGCUUGACCCCCAUUUCAUCCAGUAGUGAUUCAAUCCAAAUGAUUUCUGCAGUGGCAUUAGCUAAGGAUUUAUACUCAGCCUCUGUAUUUGAACUUGAUACAGUGGCUUGUUUCCUACCACUUUAAGAAACAAGAUUAGGCCCAAAGAACACUGCAAAGCCUCCGGUUGAUUUUCUAUCAUCACUGCAACCUGCCCAAUCAGCAUCAGAGAAUGCACUCACAAGAGUAGAAUUAGAGCGUCUAAAAUGCAGUCCUACUCCCAUAGUAUGUUUGACAUAUCUUACAGUUCUCUUAAUAGCUGUCCAAUGUGCAGUAGUGGAUGCAUGCAGAUAUUGACAAACUUUGUUAACAGCAAAUGAGAUAUCUGGGCGAGUAAGAGUCAAGUACUGUAAUGCUCCAACAGUACUUCUAUACUUUGUGCUAUCUUCCUCAUAAAGUGGCUCACCUUCAUAUGCUGAAAGUUUCUCCGAGGAGGACAAUGUGUAGGUACAGGUUUGCAGUUUUUCAUCCCCAUACGAGAUAGAAGCUUGGUAACAUAUUUCUCUUGUUUUAGUACCAUGCCAUCUUGAGUCAUCUUAACUUCAAUGCCUAGAAAGAAGUGCAAAUGUAACAUCCCAAAAUUCUAAAUUUUGGAAUGUUAUAUUAAAUAAUUAAUUAUGAUUGUUUGUUUGUUGUGUGAUUGAUUGUGUGAAAAUGAUUGGAAAUUGAAAACUUUUUGAAAGUUGAAUGAGAGGGAAUAAAAGGACUUUCUCGAAACUUUUCAUCUUGCAUUUUGAUCUUCCUGAAUUCAAAUUCAUUUCAUCACAAAACCCUAGAGUGAAGAUAUUAUGACUUCUUCCAUUUAAAGAAAUUAAAAAAGGGGUUUGAAAAUGAUUUGAAUUCCAUUUGAAACAUUUCGAAUUUAGAAACUUUAAGAGCAUCUCCAGCCGUUCGCCCCCCAGGACGCAUAAAAAUCGCCCCCAGGGGGCGAGCCGGCGAUAUAAUCGGCGCUGGGAGCGGUUUCGCGCCCAGUCGUCGCCCCCAGGCGUCGAUAUUGGCCCACUUAUCCCAUUUCGGCGAAUAAAGGGCCCAUAUGGGCGACAAUAGGCCCAUAUUCCGCGUGGUUUGCCGUUGUUCGGCGUUCAGUUGUCACACCCUAGCUAGUCAUGCAUUAGAGUGUUGCAUCAUGUUUACUCUUUCAUCAGAAACUUGAAAUGGGGAUGACAGAACCCCCAGUCCCCUCUGAAACCAACUAGGGUUACUAAAAUAAUUUUUCAAUGAACCUGAAAUGCCCUUCUAAAAUGCCCAUCAUUUUUGCCUUGGUUCAGAACCUUUGCCAAAAGUGGUGCACAUUUUCCUAGGCCAUCCUAGGGUUUUUGAAUUAAGUCAUAAGUAUUUGAAUUUGGGCAUUUAAAAUUAUAUAAAAUAUUUAAAUGCUCAAAUAUCUCCAAACUAAAAUGUUUCAUGUUGGAAAUAAUCCAACUAUGGACCAGGAGUAGUUUGGUGAUUUUUGGAGUUGCCUAGGUAUUUUAUUUAAUUCAACAAAGUUGCAGAUAUAUUAAAUAAAAACAGAAAACAGAAAAAUAAAUAAAAGGAGUAGACUUACCUGGACCUACCUGCCCAGCCCAGCCGGCCCAGCACUGUGCUGGCCCGUGCCAGCCAGCUGCUUCCCCUUGCCAGAGCAGGCAGGGAGGUGAGCAUGGCGCGCCCGAGCUCGCCACGCACCACCCAGCCUCUCUGCAUCGCCCUGGUCGCCGUUGCGCCGCGUGGAUCGUCUUCUGGUCGUCGCCCCGACCUCGCCGACACCCCAUUCAUUCUCCCCCGGCUCUCCCUCGCUCUCUCCCCCGCCCGACCGAACACCACCGUCGCCGCCGUUCGCCAUAGCCACCGUCUCCGACCACCCCUCGCUCCCCCGACCAGCUCAGAAGCUCCGCCACAACUCCCUCUUCCUCCCCACCGCUCCACAGCUCCCCGGAAGCCCUGCAUUGCCGCCACGUCGCCGUUCCCCUCUUCGGGCUCCGACCACCGCCGCCGUCGAAUUCGCCGUCUCCAGCGCGUCCCCGAGCCCGCUUCGACGCCCACUGCAACCGCGGUGAGCUACGCCACCGUUUCCCCCUCUCCUUCCCCUCGUUCCCUCACCGUAGCUUCCUCCCCACCACGGCCGAACCUCCGCCGUCGCCGAGCUCGCCGUCGACGCAGCUCCGGUGACCAUUUGGUCACCCCGGCGAGUCCAACGGGUUCACAGAACCCCGUAGAGCAUCCCUAGCGCCUCGCCUUGCUCGACUUCGAGCUCCAGCACCGUUCCCGGACUGCUCAACUCACCCAUCCUUCGGGAAAGAUAGUCAAUGUCUUGACCCGAAUAGCCAAGCGACAAUUAUACUCUCUUAACGCCAGCCCCUUGCCAGACCUUGAGGACGUGCCGGUAGUCUGUGACUUCCCGGAUGUCUUUCCAGAAGAAUUGCCAGGUGUUCCACCUGACAGGGAUGUUGAGUUCGUAAUAGACCUCAUCCCCGGAACCGUUCCGAUUGCUAGAAGACCUUAUAAGAUGGCACCCCUAGAACUAGCCGAGCUUAAGAAACAACUCGAUGAAUCCUUGAAAAAGGGUUUCAUCCGCCCUAGUUCAUCUCCGUGGGCUUGCCCCGUCCUAUUCGUCAAGAAGAAGGAUGGUACGGACCGAAUGGUUGUAGAUUACCGACCUGUCAACUUGGUCACAAUCAAGAACAAAUACCCGCUUCCCAGGAUCAACGAUCUGUAUGAUCAGCUCGCUGGAUCCUCAGUCUUCUCCAAGAUGGAUUUGAGGUUGGGAUACCAUCAAAUCAAAAUCAGAAACGGGGACAUUCCUAAAACGGCCUUUGUUACUCGUUAUGGCCAAUACGAGUACACCGUCAUGUCCUUCGGUUUAACCAACGCUCCAGCCACCUUUUCUCGGUUAAUGAACUCAAUCUUCAUGGAGUAUUUGGACAAAUUCGUCAUAGUUUAUCUCGAUGAUAUACUCAUCUACUCCAAGAACGAGGAAGAACAUGCCGAACAUUUAAGGCUAGUGUUGAAGAAACUUCGAGAGCAUCGCCUUUAUGCCAAAUUUUCUAAAUGUGAAUUCUGGUUAUCAGAAGUGACCUAUCUGGGUCAUGUAAUAUCUGGUAAAGGUAUUGCUGUUAACCCUGAGCGAGUUCAAGCCGUCCUUGAUUGGACUCCACCCGAAUCGGUCAAGCAAGUUCGGAGUUUUCUAGGCUUAGCGAGCUAUUGUCGUCGCUUUGUCGAGAACUUCUCCAAAGUUGCUAAACCUCUAACCGAACUCCUCAAGAAAGAUAAGAAGUUCGAAUGGACUCCACAAUGUGAGCACAGCUUUCAGGAACUGAAAAGACGCCUGACUUCUGCUCCCGUGCUGGUACCGCCAGACUUCUCCAAGGACUUCGUUAUCUACUGCGACACCUCGCGACAAGGACUAGGUUGCAUUCUCAUGCAAGAUCGACACGUAAUUGCUUACGCUUCACGGCAAUUGCACCCACAUGAGGAGAAUUAUCCUACUCAUGAUCUAGAGCUUGCAGCCGUAGUCUAUGCACUUAAGACCUGGCGACAUUACCUCCUCGGUAAUCGUUGCGAAAUAUUCACUGAUCACCAAAGUCUGAAGUAUAUUUUCACCCAACCGGAUUUGAAUCUCAGGCAGAGAUGUUGGGUUGAAUUGAUCACAGACUUCGACUUAGGAAUAACCUACACCCCAGGGAAAGCCAACGUCAUGGCUGAUGCGCUAAGUCGUAAAUCUUAUUGUAACAACCUGAUGUUACAACAAAGUCAACCGCUUCUCCAUGAGGAAUUUCGGAAGCUUAACCUUCACAUUGUACCUCAAGGUUUUCUUUCCACCUUGGUGGCAAAACCUACCCUUACGGAUCAAAUUAUCAAAGCACAGAAGGUAGAUCCGGGAAUCUCCCGCAUCAAGAGAAACAUUCAGAAAGGAAUUGCGAAUUGCUUCUCCAUUAAUGAUCAAGGGGUCGUAUACUUCGGGGAUCGACUAGUGGUUCCCAAAGUGCGAAACCUGAGGCGAUUGAUCCUUAAGGAAGCUCAUGAAUCUCCUCUCACCAUUCAUCCCGGUAGUACUAAGAUGUAUCAGGACCUACGCCAGAGGUUCUGGUGGACUAGGAUGAAGAGAGAAAUUGCUCAGUAUAUUGCUAAUUGCGACGUCUGUCAUCGUGUAAAAGCAGAGCAUCAACGGCCUGCUGGCACCCUUCAACCCUUAGCUAUUCCUGAAUGGAAAUGGGAUAAAAUUGGUAUGGAUUUCAUUACCGGGUUUCCCAGGACCAAGAGAGGGAAUAAUGCUAUUUUCGUCGUGGUCGAUCGUCUCUCCGAAGUAGCUCAUUUCUUACCUGUUCGUGAGAGUAUAACCGCUAGUCAGCUGGCAGAUUUGUACAUCUCCCGAAUAGUGUCUCUACAUGGUGUUCCUUUGGAAAUUAACUCGGAUCGAGGAAGUCUUUUCACCUCUCGAUUUUGGGAAAGUUUCCAAAAUGCUAUGGGAACUCGUCUCUUCUUUAGCACCGCUUUCCACCCUCAGUCGAGUGGUCAAGUGGAACGCGUCAACCAAAUUCUAGAAGACAUGCUUCGAGCCUCUGUUAUCUCUUUCGGAAUGGACUGGGAGAAGUGCCUUCCAUUUGCCGAAUUCGCUUACAACAACAGCUAUCAAUCUAGCUUGGGUAAAGCCCCUUUUGAAGUUCUCUAUGGACGACGAUGUCGAACACCCCUUAACUGAUCAGAGACCGGGGAAAGACAAUUCUUUGGCCCGGAUAUGAUUCAGGAAGCAGAAGAACAAGUUCGUAUCGUUCGUGAAAAGUUGAAAACAGCCCAAUCUCGUCAAAAGAGUCAAUAUGACCGAAAACAUAAGGCUAUGACUUUCGAGGUUGACGAGAAGGCUUAUCUUCGGGUCACCCCUCUGAAGGGAACCCAUCGUUUCGGUAUCAAAGGCAAAUUGGCUCCUCGUUACAUUGGACCUUUUCGCAUUCUUGCCAAACGAGGAGAAGUUGCCUACCAGUUGGAACUACCUCCGCACCUCUCCAGAGUUCACGAUGUCUUCCACGUUUCUCAACUCAGGCGUUGCUUCUCGGAUCCUAUCCGUGAAGUGGACCACGAAACGCUUGAUCUCCAAGAUGAUCUUACAUAUCGAGAGUACCCCAUUCGUAUCCUCGAUCAAGCCGAACGUACCACGCGACGUCAUAAUAUCAAGUUUCUCAAGGUUCAAUGGUUGCACCAUUCUGAGGAUGAAGCAACUUGGGAAAGGGAGGAUCGUCUUCGACUCGAGUAUCCCGCCUUCUUCUCGGAGAAACCCAAAUCUCGGGACGAGAUUCUUUUGAGUGGGGGUGAGUUGUCACACCCUAGCUAGUCAUGCAUUAGAGUGUUGCAUCAUGUUUACUCUUUCAUCAGAAACUUGAAAUGGGGAUGACAGAACCCCCAGUCCCCUCUGAAACCAACUAGGGUUUACUAAAAUAAUUUUCAAUGAACCUGAAAUGCCCUUCUAAAAUGCCCAUCAUUUUUGCCUUGGUUCAGAACCUCUGUCAAAAGUGGUGCACAUUUUCCUAGGCCAUCCUAGGGUUUUUGAAUUAAGUCAUAAGUAUUUGAAUUUGGGCAUUUAAAAUUAUAUAAAAUAUUUAAAUGCUCAAAUAUCUCCAAACUAAAAUGUUUCAUGUUGGAAAUAAUCCAACUAUGGACCAGGAGUAGUUUGGUGAUUUUUGGAGUUGCCUAGGUAUUUUAUUUAAUUCAACAAAGUUGCAGAUAUAUUAAAUAAAAACAGAAAACAGAAAAAUAAAUAAAAGGAGUAGACUUACCUGGACCUACCUGCCCAGCCCAGCCGGCCCAGCACUGUGCUGGCCCGUGCCAGCCAGCUGCUUCCCCUUGCCAGAGCAGGCAGGGAGGUGAGCAUGGCGCGCCCGAGCUCGCCACGCACCACCCAGCCUCUCUGCAUCGCCCUGGUCGCCGUUGCGCCGCGUGGAUCAUCUUCUGGUCGUCGCCCCGACCUCGCCGACACCCCAUUCACUCUCCCCCGGCUCUCCCUCGCUCUCUCCCCCGCCCGACCGAACACCACCGUCGCCGCCGUUCGCCAUAGCCACCGUCUCCGACCACCCCUCGCUCCCCCGACCAGUUCAGAAGCUCCGCCACAACUCCCUCUUCCUCCCCACCGCUCCACAGCUCCCCGGAAGCCCUGCAUCGCCGCCACGUCGCCGUUCCCCUCUUCGGGCUCCGACCACCGCCCCCGUCGAAUUCGCCGUCUCCAGCGCGUCCCCGAGCCCGCUUCGACGCCCACUGCAACCGCGGUGAGCUACGCCACCGUUUCCCCCUCUCCUUCCCCUCGUUCCCUCACCGUAGCUUCCUCCCCACCACGGCCGAACCUCCGCCGUCGCCGAGCUCGCCGUCGACGCAGCUCCGGUGACCAUUUGGUCACCCCGGCGAGUCCAACGGGUUCACAGAACCCCGUAGAGCAUCCCUAGCGCCUCGCCUUGCUCGACUUCGAGCUCCAGCACCGUUCCCGUGCACGACCGAACCCCGGCGGCCGCAGCCGAGCUCGCCGCCGUCGACUCCGGCCACCCCGACCCCAACGGGCUCCGCCAAGAGCUGCGGGUUGUCCUCAGCUCCACUCAGGUGGCCUCCGCGAUCCAUUUGGUGGCCGAAACGACCAAAAUCACUUCCGCCGCCGCGUCGGGCUCGCCGGCGACUAAACGCCGGCAGCCGACACUGACUUUGACCACGGGUGGGCCCUGGUUGACUCCCCUGAGUCAAUGACAGGUGGGGCCCAGCCCUGUUAAUUAAACAGGAUUAGUUUUAAUUAAGUUUUAAUUAAAAUAAUCACCCUGACAUGCGGGACCCACUGUCAGGUUUGACCUGGACCAGUUCCGUUGACCUGCUGACGUCACACUGACGUCAGGCUGACGCAGUAAAUUAAUUUCUGGAUUUAAAUUAAAUCAGGAAAUUCCAGAAUAUUAUUUAAACUUCAAAAAUUCAUAACUUUUAUUCUGUAACUCCAAAUUGGACAAAUUAUAUAUGAAAAAUGAUCAGAAAAAUCCAAUCUAUCCAUCUGUACCAUUUUCAUGCAUGAUCAAACAAGUUAAGUUGAUGUUUUAAUCAGAACAAGAAAAGGCACUUUAAAAGGCCAUAUUUGAAUUUGAAAUCUGAAUCUUUGAUUCAAAUUUGUUCAAACCCUUCUGGUUUUUAGUUGCAUUAGCCCAACACACUCAUAUUGCCAUGUUUCAUGCAUGCAUCAUAUUGUUGCAUAUUGUUUGGUGAUGUUUGUGUAUCGAUGUCCUUUGCGACAGGAUCUGUCCCCGAGGAGUAUCGUGAUUACCCUAACGAAGAACCGUAUCCGUGCAACGAACCAUCAGGCAAGCAACCAACCAUUUGAUCAUAUCAAUACAAUCCCAUGUUCUCGCUCCUGCUCUCAUUUACUGCAUUAAGACAACGCGAUUCAAACUGCUGUGUGCUACGGUAGUUGAACCCAUUUCAUCUGCAUGACCUGUCAUUGCCACAGUAACUAGAUGAAACCCACUAGCAUGUGUAGGAGUUGAUUGAGCCAUAUGUAUGUGUUGUUCCUACCUUGCUAUGCCUGCUAUGCUUAGAGUCGUGUCAGGUCUGGUUCAUCUGGGUGAUGGGCUAGAGUGAAAUGAUUAUGUCGGUAAUGAGAGUGGUGUGGUGAACACGAUUUGGUAAAGGUAUCGAUGAGAGGCCAUGUAGGAGUACAUGGUGGGUUGUUUCAUUGAAGCCGACCUUAAGCACUGAGAUCUGUAUGUGUGAUUUAAGAUACAGCUACUACCAUGCAUUGGGCCCUGAAAUAUGACCCCGCUCGACUUCUUAUUCACCCUAGCUCUCUGUCUAGGAGUUGCAAGUAGUUUCUGGUGUUUGUAGCCUACUGGAGGCCGUGGACAGCGCUGACCGUAGGGGUGGGCUGUGAUGCGGUAGGUACGUGGCACGGUGUACCGAAUACCCGUUAGGUAUCUCGGGAACCCUGUUCACAUCGUUCGGGGCCGUAUGGGAAACCUCGGCCGGACUCCCUGCGGAUGGAACCUGAAUAGGCGAUAAACCUGGACUAGAGGCUUAAGUGUUUAGGUAGGUCGUGGUCUACACCCACGUCGGUUUUCGCUUGAAGUCUGCCGAGCACAUGUCGUGUGCAGACGCUAAGUGGUGGAAACAUGUAUGAAGAAGUACACCCCUGCAGGGUUAUCAUAAUCUAUUCGAAUAGCCGCGUCCGUGGUAAAGGACUACUUGGUUGCCUAUACAGUUCAUAGACAAGUAAAUGGAAACUACUAAAAGCCUCAAGAUAAGUGUGAGUGCCGAGGAUGGCUCUUCCGUAGGAAGACGGAGGUGAAUCCUCGGUAGUGUAUUGAAGUGGUGAGUAGUGGACUCGUGUGCGCAAAACUAUUUCAAGUUGGAGUAUCGUAGGUUAGCCUAGCCAAGAGUCAAAGCUGGCUUGCUGCAAUAACUCCACCAACCCUUCUUGAUACUAUGCAUGUAUGUAGGAUCUGAUGUAAGUCUUGCUGAGUACCUUUGUACUCAUGUUGCUAUAAUCUACAUUUUUUACAGAAGACGCUGCAACCCCUUCUGAUGGGUUCUAUGUAGACGUUGACAUCAACGAGUAGGCUAAAGACCCAGGUGGUGACCCUGAGCUUGUGAUGGACCACGUAGUAUAGCUAGGCUUUCCAAGCCUCUUUUAUUUUACUAGUUGUCUGUACCCAGACAAAGUACUUCCGCUGUUGGCUUGUAUGACUGUAUGAUUUGUAUGUUGGGUCGUGAGACCCGUACCUGUGUGUAUGAUAUGUAUGGCUCCCUGAGCCUUAAAUAAAGUACUUGUGUCAUAGAGUCAUGUUGUGAUGCUUCGUUGUAUUUGCACAUAUCGAGCAUAUUGUGUGUAUGAUUGAAAUGCUUGGUAUGUGUGGGAUCUGACUAUCUAGUUGUUUAUCUUUAGUAGCCUCUCUUACCGGGAAAUGUCUCCUAGUGUUACCGCUGAGCCAUGGUAGCUUGCUACUGCUCUGGAACACUUAGGCUGGCCGGCAUAUGUCCUUCUUCGUUCCUGUGUCUGUCCCUUCGGGGAAAUGUCACGCUUUGAGUACCGGAGUCCUGUUAGCCCGCUACAGCCCGGUUUACCGGAGUCCUGCUAGCCCAGUGCUACAGCCCGGACCCACUUGCUGAUGACCGACACGUUCGAAGCUGGGUCAUGGAUGCCUGUCCCUGUAAGUCUGUGCCACUUUGGGUUUACGACUAGUCAUGUCAGCCCGGGCUCUUUAUCAUAUGGAUGCUAGCGACACUAUCAUAUACGUGAGCCAAAAGGCGCAAACGGUCCCGGGAAAAGGUAAGACGACACCCGUGGGGAUACCGUGCGUGAGGCCGCAAAGUGAUAUGAGGUGUUACCAGCUAGAUCGAUGUGACAUCGAGUCGGGGUCCUGACAUCAAUUAUGCACAUAAAUUUUUUAUCACAUAUUUCAUCACAGAAAUAUCAAAUACUUCAACAAAAUAGUACAACAACAAAUAGUUCAAUACAAUUUAUAUAGUUGAAGAAAUAAAAACUCAUAUUCCAUCACACGUCGCGCCCGACGUCACCCUUGAGCCUCCAUAGAUGCUCUAUCAGAUCUUGCUGCACUUGAUGAUGCACCUGUGGGUCUCGGAUCUCCUGACGCAUACUGAGAUAGGCAGUCCAGGUUGCCGGUAGCUGGUGAUCAACUUCGGCUAGAUGACCCUGCCUAUAGUAUGGUUCAGUGUCAAACACUGGGUCUUCUUGCUCGUUCUCGAUGAUCAUGUUGUGCAAGAUGACACAGCAAGUCAUAAUCUCCCACAUUUGAUCUUUCGACCAGGUCUGAGCGGGGUACCGGACAACAGCAAAUCGAGAUUGGAGCAUACCAAAUGCCCUCUCGACAUCCUUCCUGUAAGCCUCCUGAACCUUCGCAAACCAGCCGUUCUUGCCUCCUGGCACAGGGUUUGAGAUCGUCUUCACAAAUGUCGACCAUCUCGGAUAGAUGCCAUCAGCUAGAUAGUACCCCUUGUUGUAGUGCCGCCCAUUGAUCUCGAAGUUCACCGGAGGAGAAUGACCUUCAACAAGCUUGGCAAAGACAGGAGAGCACUGCAGCACGUUGAUGUCAUUGUGAGUUCCUGGCAUACCAAAGAAGGAGUGACAAAUGCAGAGGUCCUGUGUGGCCACCGCCUCAAGUACCACACUGCAACCGUCUUUGGCGCCUUUGUACAUCCCCUGCCAAGCAAAUGGGCAAUUCUUCCAUUUCCAAUGCAUGCAGUCGACUCUUCCAAGCAUCCCAGGAAAUCCUCUUGCUGCAUUCUGUGCUAGGAUCCGAGAAGUGUCUUCCGCAUUGGGUGUUCUCAAGUAUUGCGGUCCAAACACGGCCACCAUUGUCCGAAAGAACUUGUAGAAACACUCUAUGCUGGUGGACUCGGCCAUGUGCCCAUAGUCGUCGAGUGAAUCACCGGGAGCUCCGUAUGCAAGCAUCCUCAUCGCUGUCGUGCACUUCUGAAUGGAGGUGAAUCCAAGGGCGCCGGUGCAAUCCAUCUUGCACUUGAAGUAGUUGUCGAACUCCCGGAUGGAAUUCACAAUCCUGAGGAAGAGCUUUCGGCUCAUCCGAUAACCGCGCCGAAAUGUUUUCUCGCCGUGAAGUGGAGCAUCGGCGAAGUAGUCGGAGUAGAGCAUGCAGUAGCCUUCGAGACGAUGCCGGUUCAUUGCUUUCACCCGCCCCGGCGCCGAGCCACCUCGCUGCGGCUUUUCAUUGCUCGCCAGCAGCUGGGCAAGGGCGGCGAGCAACAUGAGAUGCUCUUCUUCCUGGACAUCGGCCUCGGCUUCCUCCUCCAACAGCGCGGCGAGCGCUUCCUCAUCAUCCGAGUCCAUCGCCGAGGCAGGCAAAUCGCCGAACACCUUGCGCCCGGUGGGCGUGUACCCGCCGCUAAACUGCCCCUCUGCGGCCGGAAACACCCAGCUGCUGUUGGAGGGGCUGCCGCGGUGAAGCUCUGCUAUUUUUUCGGCGGGGAAUGGCUAUCUAGCGGUGAAGGGCGGCAGGCGGCGUCAGGAUAUAGCUAGUGGCGGCCGAGGGCGCGGGGGUGGGAGGCGAGUCGGGGAAGAAAACCUUAACUUUUCCCCUGCUGGUGUGGGCCAGCCGCGCUUUUCCCUUGCGCCGGGGCUCCCAAUUGCCCCUAGUGCGCCGGGUUUGGCCUGUGACCGCCGAGCGGAAAAAAGGGCCGAACCGGCAAUUUUCGGCGUCCUGGGGGCGCGAGUGGGGAAUUUUUUUGGCGCCGGCGGCGAAAAAGUGGCCUGGGGGGCCUGUUGGGGGCGCGGCCGGAGAUGCUCUAAGCAAUUCAAUGAGUUCAUGAGGGAAGAUAAAAUGACUUCUUCAAAUCAAAGGAAGAGAGUUGGAAGUUUCAAAGGAAUAAUUUGAAGACACUUUGAAGUUAUUUGAAACUCAUUUUUCCAUUUGAAGUUGUUUGAAAUUCCAAAUUUCAAAUCCUCUUGGGAGUUAUUUAGGUUUAAUUCAAAUUAUUUUUCUCCAAAAAAUAAAUAGAUGGAAAUAAGGGUAAAAUGAUUCCCUUCAAUAGAAAAUUAGGAGAAAAUAUAUUUGAAAUCAUUUUGCUAUUUUAAAAACGAUUUUUAUUGAUUUUAAAUGCAAUAGUAGCACUAUUUGACUUUUAUGAAUUUUUAUGGAAUUUAGUUGAACUUGAAAAAUAAUUCAUCUUAUUGCUGCUAUUUUUCUGAGCAUUUUGGUAUAUAAUAUUCCUACGUAAUUUUUUUAGUUAUCUUCCUAUGUUGAAGGUUUUGUUUCUGCAAAAAAAAACACGCGCCCGCCAGCCAGCCCAGGGUCUUCGGCCCAAGAGCCAGCCAGCACACCAAGCCGGCCCAGCAGCGCCCCAGGCCGCUCGAGGCCUCUUGCCUCGUUCUCCCAGGCCCCUCUUCCCUCGCUCGCUCUCUCCCACCGCCGCUGCUAGUGGGGCCCGCAACCCUUCGUCCCUAACUUCCCGCUCCUCCCGUUGAUAUAGAGCACGUUGAUAUAGAGCACGCGUGUGCCGCCCGCAACUGCCGGCUGCUCUGCUCGGGAUAGAGCUCAUCCCCAGUGUCCGCAGCCUCUUCUCGCGCCUAUAAAUUCCCCCGACUCCCCUCGUUCGAUUUUGCCACUCCGCAACGACCCACGCCACUCACAGCCGCCGCCUUCGUCGUUUGGAUCUCGCCCGUCGGAGCUACCUGGCCGGUCCGUUCCCCCGUCCGUAAGACUGCCUCGACCCGUUCUUCUUUGUCAAUUGACUCCCCGCGUCAAGGCGCAUCUGAUUGACAAAAAAUUGCCGCCUUGGUCGUACCAGAGACGACGCCCCGACGCGCCGCGCUCUCGCCGGAGCACCGGAGCUCCGCCGCCUCCCUCCGCUCGUCGCUGGCCACCCCACCGCCCGCCGACCCCACCAGCACGCCGCCCACGCCGCGCCCGACCUCCCCGACCCCUUCGUCGCCGCUGCCCACUGAGGACCGCCGGAGACGCCCCCGUGUCCGCCGUCCGCCGCCUGACGCUAGCGCUGCCGCCCCUGUUCGCCGUCCUCGCUCGCUGUGAGCCGCUGACCCUCAGUCAUUUUUGUUGUUGUUGUAUUAGAUCGGGUAACCGUGGUUUUAUUAAACCGUGCAGUUUAGUAAAAAACCGGUCUCCGGUUUUCUUUUUAUUUAGCCGCGGUAGCCGUUUUAUUUAUUCAGUGGCCGUCCGCCGUUUAGCCUGAGCCGCGAACGCUUCUCAGCCACCCGGAAGCCGCCACGUGGCCAGGGACCUGGUCACGAAUAAAACUUUCACAAUUAAGACCCUUAGAUUUCAGUUUAGCCCCUAAACUUCGAAUGGUUGUAUCUUUUUAACCGUAACUGCAAAUUCGACGAAACCAGCAGCAAAAUGUUCAUGUCCAAUAGUUUUAUCCAGAGAACCAACUUUGAAAACUUUUGGACAAAUUCAAAUUUGAACUUUAUUCAGAUUUGAAUUCAAACUUCAACUGGCCAUAUCUCUUAAACCGUAGCUCCGAUUGGUGUGAUUCUUUUUGCAACGUGUCAUCGUAGCCAAACCCUACCACCUAGACCUUGUCACAAUCUGUCUAUGAUAGUUUUACUAUUAUGCCAUGUAUGGACUUUAGUACACAUCACAGUUUUGAACCCCAUGUCACAAGUUGUUUUGCACUUAGGAUAUUUCCAUGCUAGUUAACUGUGUUGAAUAUUCAUUUGGUUUUUCUGAGACUUUGUGCUUUGCAUGUUCUUCUUGGUUCUCUGAAACGAUUGCUUAUGUGAGUGCAAUGUUUGACUUUAUAGAUUUUCAUCGGAGAGUGAAGAAUAGUUCUAUUAAAUAAAUUUCUGAGAGCGAUAUAAUCUUCAUCAACUAUUACCAGGCAAGUUCACAUUUGACCAUUUUUCCAAUUACCUAUGUUUAUAUUAUGCACUUAGUCCUUUUGUGGUAGGAUUGCAUGGUAGGAUUUAUUGUUACCAGAUGGCUAUGCCGUUACCUAGUAGUUCAUUUAAGGUAGGUAUGAUCUAUACAUCCUUGUCACCACCGUGUAAGUUUAUUUUUGCCUCACUAAAUGUAGACGUGGUUUGGGAAGCGAACAUGGCGAGACAUGAGUGACAAAGUAGUAAUCAGGACCAAGACUUGUAAAUGAACUACCUGGGCGGUAUUUUGUUUGAAUGGUGGCGAAGUACAGUGGGAGCAUGCAUGGUUAAUCCAUGGUGGUGCACCACUAGUGGUUGGCCGCUUAGGCUCAAAGAGAUCAAUAGUAUUCUCAUGUCUAGAAGCUUAAGUGUGCAGCCACAAACCAAUAUGGGCUCUAGCUUAGUUGAGUAGUUAGUGUGACCCAUUCCGGGAUGGGCUAGCAGAUGUAGAAUGAUGUAGGUGUACCGGCCUAUCCAUGGGUUAAGGGGUGACAUUUUUGAAAGAGUAUGUCUCGGUCAUCCUGUUCUCAAACGCCAGGCAGUGCGAGAACUCCAGGGGAGGCGAUCGAGUCUUGUGGGGAAAAGUGCGCAAACCUCUGUAGAGUGUUUUUUUUGAACUUGACAGUGGGAGAGAACUCCCACUGUAUAUUUUCACAUAUCUAUAUAAAUGGGGUGUUUACAUAGACAUACCACUCACACACAUCCAGCUCCACUCUUGGUGGAACCACCAGGGGUGGGGCAACUACACCAUGGUCACUGCUAUACACUUGUCUCUAAGUAUUUAAAGAGGGAAGAAUAAAACACAGUAUGUCUCAGCUAAGUGUGCCACAGUAUGAAAGCAGGGCAGCUCUACGUGUACCCUGAACUCUAUGUUGCAGAAGUCCCAAGUCCUCUUUGAAUCGAUGGAACCAAGAUGCAAUGCUUGGGGUUACACCUCUGAAGUGUUUAUUGUUUCUUUCCUUCCACAAACUCCAGGUAGUAGUGAAAAAUGCUUCAAUGAAGAAAGGAUUGGGCCAGUUGGGUUGUGCGUUUUGCAACGCAUCAAACCUAUUUUGAAAAUCAAUCCAGUGAACACCUAUCUUGGCCCAACACCUUUCGCUGAACUGGCAGGUGAAGAUCAUAUGCUCGAGAGUCUCAUCUGCAUUUUGCCCACAAAGGAGACAUGUGAUGUCAUUCCCAAUGUCAUAGUGUCUUCUUCUCAGCAUGUCACAUGUGUUCAACCUGUCGUGCAGCAACAACCAUCCAAAUACUUUGAUUUUCAUCAUACAGUUUGAUUUCCAAAGGAGCGGGAAGAUGGGAUGAGCUGUUGCAUCACGGGAGAAGUUGUUAUAGUAGUCUUUUGGCUUGUACCCAGCUGCCCCCCAAGCAUAGAGCCAAACAUCAGAUAUUGUUGUGGAUGGGUGUAUGCGGAAUGCUGCAUGUUGGACAUCUUGCACCUCGUUGAGCGCACGAGCAGAUAGCGGUAGGUGAAAGGUUUCAUGCAGUUCAGUGUUGGCCCAGAAGUCAGCGACCGUCAUGUCUUCCUGCAGAGCAAAUGAAAAGGCACGCGGGUGCGAUGUUUGUAGCACAUCAUUUGACCACAAGUCUUUCCAGAGCAGCGUAGUCGAGCCAUCAACUACUUGGACACGAGUGAUCCCUCGGUAGAUGGGCGUUAAUUUGAGAAUGUCUUUCCACCAGAAAGAACCGACUAGAUCAACCGCAUGAGGCACCUGGUUAGCAUACUGAUUAUCCCAAAGCAUAGUAACCCAUGGUACGUCCAGUUUGUUAUAGAACUUGUGGAGAAAUUUUAGCAGGAGGGCUUCGUUGUAGAUUGUAAUGUUGAUCACUCCUAACCCACAUUUACACUUGGGCUUGCACACUAGUUCCCAAGCCGCAAGCGAAUUACAUUUGUCACCUUGGUCGGUUUUCUUUGUCCAGAGACAUCUCCUUCUAAUCUUGUCAAGAAUUUCAAUUAGAUUCGGAGGGAACUUGAGCGUGCACAUGGCAAACACCAGAAGGGAUGUGACCGAUGCAUUGAGCCAGGAGAGGCGGCCCCCAUAGGACAUCAUAGCGAUCGUGGCAGUGAGACGAUGCUCCAUUUUGCAAACUAGAGGCAUGAAUUCUUGAAUGGUUGGUCUUGUAGUGCCAAGUGGCAGGCCAAGGUAGGUGAAAGGCAUUGUACCUAUAGUGCAGCCAAAAAUGGCAGCAAGGCUAGAGGUUGCACUUGCGUCCAGGUUGAUUGGUAUGAGCGUCGACUUGUGAAAGUUAAUUUUGAGGCCAAUAGAGGAUGCAUAGUCAGAGAGAAUGUUCUUGACACGGGCAGCCUGUUGUGGGCAAGCAGGCAAGACAAGGAGGGUGUCGUCCGCAUAUUGGAUCACUGGGUAAUCAUUUUGCCCAUUGCAUGGAAAAGGCAGGCUGAUAUCUCCACGUCGAUAAGCAUCAUUGCCGUGGCUUGAAGUAGUUCAGCUGCCAGGACGAAAAUGAGGGGGGACAGAGGAUCACCUUGCCGCACACCGCAUCGACAAAGGAACUGUCGGCCUGGGACCCCAUUAAGAAGUUUGGACGAGCGACCCGAGGAGAAGAGGCACUUGAUCCAGGAGAUCCACUUGUCACUGAAACCCAUCUGCUGCAUAAUGCAAAUCAUUGGUUCAUGCGUGAUGGUAUCGAAUGCUUUGGCGAAAUCAAGUUUAAGAAUAAUGAUUGGCCGGCCCAAGUUUUGACAGUGAUAAAGAUAUUGAUAAUCUCAUGCCAGACAAUUCUGUAUAGUAUGCCCUUUAAUGAACCCAUACUGAUUCCGGUGAAUGAGGGUGAGAAUGACAAGUUGAAGUCUGUCUGCUAGCAGUUUGGUAAUCAACUUGAGGCAGCAGUUGAGCAAUGUAAUGAGUCUGAAAUCAUUGACUGUUUCUGGAGAGUUAGUCUUAGGUAUAAGUGUGAUAAGACCAUCAUUGAUACUUGUGACAUCUAACGUACCUGCAUAGAACUGAUCACAUAGGGUGUAAAAGUCAUGUCGAAUGAUGGGCCAGCAGGCUUUCAAAAACGCCCCACUAAAGCCAUCUGGGCCAGGUGCGUGGUCCGGAGGCAUACCUUUGACCACAUUAUCGAUUUCCUCAUGUGAAAAAGGCGUGGUAAGUUGGUCAAGAUUUGUAGCGCGGGGGAUAAUGUUUGGAAGAUCAAAUUUCAUGUCUGAAGGGGAGACCGUACCCAGGCGGUUUUUGUAAGUUUGAAACAAGAGGGCCUCUUUUGCAGGAUGAUUGUCGACCAAUGUGCCAUCCUCAAGCUUGAGUGAGGAGAUAUUGUUUUGUCGAUAACGUUCCCUGGCCACUGCUUGGAAAAACUUGGAGUUUUCAUCGCCAAACUUGAUCCAACGAAUAGUACAACGCUUCUUCCAAUAAAGUUUUUGAUAUUUGAGCAGUCUCAGCAAGUGUGACUUUAGGAUACGUUUGAAGUUCAUUUUUGGAAUUGAAAGGAUUCGUUUAUUCUGCCAGGACAUGGUUACAGUUCGUGAUGGCCACUAAUAGACGAGAAAUAUUCUUACUCCAGAUUUUGAGAGUGUGUCGAAGAGCUUUGAAUUUUCAGCAAAGGAUUGUGGCAGCAUUUGCGUUCCAAACUGGCCAUUCCCAAACCUCUCUAACUAUGUCCAUAAACCCUGGGUGUAAGGUCCAGUAGGAUUCAAAACGAAAGAGCUUGGAUCGGGGGAUUUUGGUCUCUAUGGUGACAACGCAAGGGAUGUGAUCAGAAACGGGCUUGCCAAGGGGUUUAACGAGCAUCUUAGGAUAUGCGUUACUCCAAUGCAAGGAUGUGGAGAACCAGUCAAUCUGUUCAAGCAAAGGAUCGGUCUGCAUAUUGCUCCAAGUGUAGGUUCUACCUUUUACCGGAAGCUCAAUCAGUUGCUGCUGACGAAUGAUGUCAUUGAACGUAAUCAUGUCGUGAAUGUUACCCCCAGGUUUAUUAUGAUUGUCUGGAGCUCUCAUGUAGUUAAAGUCGCCCAAAAGUAACCAGUCUUGGUUACGGGGUAUUUGAACAUCGUACAACCAUUGCGUGAAAACAUCCCUGUCUGUACCAGUGCAAGGCCCGUACACGUUAACUAACGUCCAAUGUUGAGAGGAUUGCGUGCUAACGAACUCGAUGGCUAGCGCAAAUGGAUCAGACGAGAGUACUGAACCAGAGAAAACCGAGCUUUUCCAGAUUGUAAGUAACCCCCAGAGGCGCCGCGCGAAGGGACAAAAGCAAAACGAUCAAAUUGUCUAGGACAGCAAGUUUUAAUAGAAGCAAAAGUAACCUCAGGCAUCUUAGUCUCCUAAGGACAAGCGAUAGCAAAACCACUGGUAGAGAUAGCAUUAUUCAGAGCCAGUCGCUUCUUCUCAGAAUUGAGCCCACGGAUAUUCCAUGAGAGCACAUUCCAGCAGCUCAACGACGUCAUAUAGAACUCCAAUAUUAAGCAGAGGUGUGAGAGAGAUCCUCUCCCUGGUCAUCACUAUUAAUCGAAGAGGCAAAAGAUUCGGGCACGGCAGCAGUUUCAGCAAGCAGGGCUUCUUUAGAAAGUUCAGUAGCAGGUAUAGCACAUCUGUUAACUCCAAUGGAUUGUAGAGUAACUAUAGGAGUUGGGGGCGGGACCUCACCAGCAGAAGUAGCAGCAGAUGCUGAUGUGCCAAUAGACGGGAUGACACGGGGCUUAACUUUGGAAUUGUUCUUGCGACUGUCAGAGAGGGGAGGAACCUUGACCCCAUCAUACGUGUUGGAGCGGAGACUGCGGCGCACUUCAGUUGUGGAGAUAGGGGCAGCAGCCCUGGUCCUACGGGGGCGCGGGCCAGUGGUGGCCAUAGAAGCAGUUGCCUCUGAGAUCACAGAAGGUUCUGAAGGUGGAAUGUGCACAACUUGUUCUGUGUCCAUUGGGGCGUCUUCAGUGUUGGGCGGCAUGGCGGGCUCAAUGGCGUUUUCCACACUAGCAUGUUCAGAUAGGUCCUCAAUGAUCACAGCGGAGGCAGCCAAAGCAGAAGUAGAGCUUGAUUGCUGGGAAAAGGUCAGACUAGUAGAAUCCUGUGUGAUCAAGACAGACAACUGAACCUGGUUUGUUCUCAGACCAAACCCCUCUAUCCAAGGUCCAAAAGUUGCAAGCAUUGGGCUAACAGCUUGGAAGAUGAAUGUGUUAAGAUUCAGGCGUGGGAUUGGGUCAUUCAGCAGCCUGGAAAGGAUCUCAUCUCCUUGAGCAGAUAAACCAAAUCUGACACCUUGAUCAUUGAUCUCCAGUGUGAUGUUAAGAGAUUCAAAGCUUGCACUGUCAGACAGCUGUAUAGCUGGAUCAGCCGGGAUGAGAAUGUCAGACUGGGUCAAGCUUGAACUGUCAAACUGGGUGAUCGAAUCAUUCCAAGCUUGGAGAGCAUUAUCAGUGACAUUGUUUUCAGGGACUAACCCAUGUUGCACAGUCAGACCCUGCGCAGCAAGCCAGGCUUGUUAGUUCACCAAAUGGAGCGGCAUUUGCGGGAGUGGAGGAGCAGCGGGCGCCUCCCAAGUGCCCCAUCCAGUGUUGUCAUCCACUUGUUGAGCCUCAUUGUUGCCAGCUGCGGGUGCACCAUUCUGAAUGAGCCAAUUGUGAACUUGCUGCUGAUAUAACUGUUCUGCAGUGAGUUCAGGGCCAAACUGUGGAUGUGGGUUGCCAUCGGGGGGUGGCAUUUCCUCAGGUGCAGCAGGUACAUCAGGGAGGAGGCCAUUCCAGUCGUUGCUGCGACGGAUGGUCACUACUACUGUCCAACUGUCGUGCGCACCACCCAGCUGCCAUACCACAAAGCUCUUGGGGAUGAGGCGCAGACUAAGUACUCUGACUUUUAGAAGGAUGAAUCUGCGGUCCUGACGCGGAUUAUACCAGGAAACUAAGGAACCAUAUCCACCCAAGGCCUUAGUGAUGUAAUAGUCCAUUUGGUAGUCAUACGGAAAGCCGAAGAACAUAAUCCAAAUCUCAGGCCCAAACGGUGCAGCUCUACGAUUAAGAGCCGCAUUGUGCGAAACGAAGGUGAUCAACAGAUCUUCAUCUUCAAGCUCAAGCGGUGUGUUGACAGCAUUAUCUCUCAUAAAGGAAUCCACAAAACCAAAAAUCCCAACACCAAGGGGGUGAUCCGAUGGCGGACGGUGGCCCGGCGAUGCAGGGGCAGAUACUCACUGGCUUCUGCAAUGGCCAGGAACUCAUGGCUGAGUGGAGCAAUCGGGCCAACGACCAUGCCGCUGCGCACAAGACUAUCGGCCGGCCCUGGCUCAGCGGCAAAACCCGGCGGGAGGAAAGGCACAGGGUUCAGUGGGUAGUUCGCCAUUGUGGUGGAAGGGAUCAGAGGGGAGGACGGUGGUGCGGAGAUGGGAUGCAACUGCAAUGGCGCAAGCUGCAGCAAAGCGUCAGACUGUGGCGAUGGGACUGGACGGGAUGUGGCCCAUUGGGUUCUCGAGGCGGAAGCUGAAGCGUGAAUGGGGGCGGUAGAAGGCAAAGUUGCCUUUGCAACCUCUGUAGAGUGUUAAAACCUAAUCGAUUAACCAUGUCCCCGGUUACGGACAACUUGAGCAUCUAGUAGUGGAAAUGAUGGGAGAUCUCAUCACUCUUAAUUAAACAGUUGGUUUUUAAAUGAAACAUUGGGAAUGGAUUGAGUUGGGUUUGCCAACUCAUCCUAUGCUAUACUGUAGUGAUAGACUAAUGUCUUUUAUUCUAGGGAAAAACUAGCUUUAUGCAAAAACUAAACUUAGAGUUUUCCACCAGCCAAAUUGCAUGUACAAAUAGGUUCAUUAUUCUUAUGAUGUGACUUGCCAGUACAUUCAAUGUACUGACCUAUAGGGCUGCAACGUCUUAUGUUGCAGGAAUUUCUACGACGAGUAAGAAUUAUGUUGUAGGGUUAUCGUCUACACUCAACUUGCCGUUGGCGUUGAUGGGACUCCACACCCGUUCGAUUGUUUCCACUGAGAUUUAUGAGGUAUAUAUCAGUUUUGCGUUAUUUAUACAUUUGAUUGAACUUUGAUAUAUACAUUGAUGUACUGUGUGUGCCAGCAUAUCAAUCCAGGGAUGGCCCGGAUACACAGAGGCUUGACAGUUUGAGCUCGGGUCGCUACAGAGAUGGUAUCAGAGCACAUGUUGACUAUAGGACGUGACCCUAGAAACUGGAAAGCCCUUAGGAAAAGAUUUCUCUAAAAGUUUAUUUUCAAAAAGAUCCUUUACCUCUCUUCAUUUCUGAGCUUUAUCAAAUCUUUCCUUUUACCCCAAAUAGGUAGGCAAUAUCCCUUUUCCCUUUCACCACGCGGAGGAUCAACUGAUGAGACCACUCCGAGAAGGGCAAGAUAUCGGCCAACUGAUGGCCACUUCAAAGUAAAGAGGAUUUCAUCAUGCAUUAGAACAGUUAAUGCUACGACAGUCGAAGACUCGAAGAAUUUGAAGACACUGAAGAAUUCCAAGAUUUAUAUGACCUUUAGAAGACCAAACCCUUGUUGUGUACUCACGUUAGAUGCGAUGAUUUGUGAGCUGUCAUAUUUGGUGUGUGUUUUCCAUUGCAACAAAUAAAACUUAUUUUCAAAAACUAUAUUGUUUGUAUUGUGUGUAUCUUUCUCUAUCCCUCUUAUCUCAUCCCAAAACCCUUGGACCCAAUAGAUGAUGAAUGAAGAUGGACUUGUAUUCUCUGGACCGAUCACUCGGUUAGAGGAAGAGCUAUGGAUUCAAAACAUGGAGAGUCACUUCGAGAGCAAUUUGGUUGCAAGGAAGUAUGAGGUUCAAUAUGCUCUUUAAUACUUUACAAAAAGUGCUACAACAUGGUGGAAAAUGCAUCAAGCCAUACAAGGAUGUAAUGGAGCAAAAACUUGGGAGGAAUUGAAGAAGACUCUGUUGGGAUCCCGUCUUAUCCGGAAGCACGGUGAUAAACUGAUGAAGAAACCUUGUGCCUGCAAGAUAUGUGGAGAAAUAGGACACACCCAUGAAGAACACAAGGAUGGAUGCCCUCAUUAUGAAGGAAAUCACCCAGCAGAAGAGUGCCCAACUAGGCAGGUUACUUGUUUCUUGUGUGAAGGAACUACGCACUACCCUGCCCAGUGUCAUAUUUACCCCAGGGUACAAGAAAUUACCAAGAACCAGAAGGAAGAAGUGAAAGAAGCCCUCAGGGAAAGUUUAAGAAAACUGGUGAUGAAAGAAGAUGUUGACGACCCUGAUGGAGAAAGCCUAAACAGAUUUUACUCCAAUGCUUGCUAUGCAUGUGGAGAAGAAGGACAUUUCUCACAAUAUUGCGUGAAGGAAAACCAAGAGUAUCUGGGAGACUUCCCGAUAGAAGAAGUGGGGUUUGAUCGACAAGAGAUAGAAGAAUUGAUCGGAACGAAGAAGUCGAGGAAGAGAAAGAGCAUGUAUCCCCAGAACAACCCAGUUUCUGCAGAAAAGGACCUGAGUCAUAUCACUUGUUACAGCUGCAAGGAUUUAGCUCAUUAUUCUAGCAAAUGCCCACCAAGGAAGCCAAGAACCCAAGGAACCAAGAUAACCACCAGGAACCCCUGGAUUUGUCUGACGCCAUUUGUUUACGCUGCAAAGGAGUAGGACAUUUUGUCAGAGAAUGUUCAGACCCGAGGAAAGCUUGAGCAGAGUAGUUGAGAUCUUGAUAUUGGAAUAAAGCAUGUAAUAAAUGUGGAACGCACUUUUAUUUUCGUGGGGGGUGUUGAUACGUCUCCAACGUAUCUAUAAUUUUUGAUUGCUCCAUGCUAUAUUAUCUACUGUUUUGGACUAUAUUGGGCUUUAUUUUCCACUUUUAUAUUAUUUUUGGGACUAACCUAUUAACCGGAGGCCCAGCCCAGAAUUACUGUUUUUUUGCCUAUUUCAGUGUUUUGGAUAAACGGAAUAUCAAACGGAGUCCAAACGGAAUAAAAUCUUCGGGAACGUGAUUUUCUCACCGAACGUGAUCCAUGAGACUUGGACCUUGCUCUAAGGAACAAAAGAGGCGGUCACGAGGGUGGGGGGUGCCCCCCCUAGGGCGCGCCCCCCUGCCUCGUGGGCCCCUCGUUGCUCCUCCGGCGUACUUCUUCCUCCUAUAUAUACACAUGUACCCCCAAACGAUCAGAAGAGGAGCCAAAAACCUAAUUCCACCGCCGCAACUUUCUGUAUCAGAAGAGAUCCCAUCUUGGGGCCUGUUCCGGAGCUCUGCCAGAAGAUGGCCGUCAUCACGGAGGGCUUCUACAUCCUCCUAGCCCCUCCGAUGAAGUGUGAGUUGUUUACCUCAGACCUUCGGGUCCAUAGUUAGUAGCUAGAUGGCUUCUUCUCUCUCUUUGAAUCUCAAUACAAAGUUCUCCCCCUCUCUUGUGGAGAUCUAUUCGAUGUAAUCUUCUUUUCGCGGUGUGUUUGUUGAGACCGAUGAAUUGUGGGUUUAUGAUCAAGUCUAUCUAUGAAUAAUAUUUGAAUCUUCUCUGAAUUCUUUUAUGUAUGAUUGGUUAUCUAUGCAACUCUAUUCGAAUUGUCCGUUUGGUUUGGCCAACUAGAUUGGUAGUUCUUGCCAUGGGAGAAGUGCUUAGCUUUGGGUUCGAUCUUGCGGUGUCCUUACCUAGUGACAGAAGGGGCAGCAAGGCACGUAUUGUAUCGUUGCCAUCGAGGAUAACAAGAUGGGGUUUAUUUCAUAUUGCAUGAAUUUAUCUCUCUACAUCAUGUCAUCUUGCUUAAGGCGUUACUCUGUUUUUAACUUAAUACUCUAGAUGCAUGCUGGAUAGCGGUCGAUGAGUGGAGUAAUAGUAGUAGAUGCAGAAUCGUUUCGAUCUACAUGUCACGGACGUGAUGCCUAUAUACAUGAUCAUGCCUAGAUAUUCUCAUAACUAUGCUCAAUUCUGUCAAUUGCUCAAUAGUAAUUUGUUCACCCACCGUAGAAUACUUAUGCUCUUGAGAGAAGCCACUAGUGAAACCUAUGGCCCCCGGGUCUAUUCUCAUCAUAUCAAUCUCCAUCACUUUAAAUCUUGCUUUGUUUUUACUUUGCUUUUACUUUUUAAUUUGCAUCUUUAUACCAAAAAUACCAAAAAUAUUAUAUCUAUCAGAUCUCAUUCUCGUAAGUGACCGUGAAGGGCUUGACAACCCCUAAUCGCGUUGGUUGCGAGUAGCUAUCGCUUUGUGCAGGUACGAGGGACUUGAGCGUGGGCUCCUACUGGAUUGAUACCUUGGUUCUCAAAAACUGAGGGAAAUACUUACGCUACUCUGCUGCAUCAUCCCUUCGUCUUCGGGGAAAACCAACGCUAGCUCAAGAUGUAGCAGGUGUUGAGUUGAGUUACCGAAUGGAAAUUGUAAUAGCUCAUGAAGAAAUAAAAAUUGAGUUGUUUGGAAUCUCAUAUGAAAUGUUAUGAGUUGUUUUUUGAUUGUGAGUGCCUUUCUCACUAUGUCACCCAGACAUAAACCUUGAACCCAUGGACAAGCUGACCCCAAAACCUUCACUAAAAAAACGACAUUUCACCCAAGGAAAUACAUGCAUUAUCCUAAGUACCCCUUCUAUCUUAUACCUGCAGAUGGCAACCCUUUACGAGUCUUUUCUCAAGGGCCCAGAAACGAUCAUGACCCUAACUAGUGAUCAGGAUUACCCAAAGAUCCUCAAGGACAUGAUGAAGCAUAUUCAUCUUGAAGGAGAUGCAGUCUACAAGGGUUAUCCUUUCAUGGAGAAUGGAGUUGAACUUUGGUACGUGGAGGUACACCUCCAUCGUGUGAAGGGAGUUUUCCCAAAGAGUAUGGGGCAAUACUUUUUCAUUUCUCGAGUACCCCGAGCAACAUUCUUCGACUCUGUUCGUGAAACUGCUAUGGAAGCCAUACGUCAGAUAGGAGAAAUACUUGAAGCCAGACUUCGUUAUACUCAGGAAUACCCGAGGGAGGUGCAUGCAAAGAUGAUGGAGAUGAAGCUCAUGGCCACCAUGAUGAAGCAAAAGGUCGAUGAUUUCAAGGACCACAUUGUACAAUUCCAGUGGGACUAAAUUAUCUUCAAGAAGGGCAAAUGAAUAAAGAUGGAAGUAAUGCUUGACCAUAGCAAACUAUGUGGAUGGCAGCUUUUUGUAAUAGAGUACUUUUGAAAUUUGAGUUUUGAGUAGUGGUUAAGGAUGUAAUAAAGGAUUUGAUAUGAAGAGAAUUAUGGAUGAACCAGUGCAUUUUUUGGCGAUACCUGUCUGUGCGAACACUUGACCAAUGGAAAAGGAAAUGUAUUCCAUAGAGUGAAGUUUGGACAAAUGAGUUGGAGUUUGGUUUUAGUUAUGAUGGUUACCCCAAGAGUAUGAAGGAAUGAAGUACUAUUGGAUUUAAAGGAGAUGUAAUGUUGGAAUAUGGAACAAUAGUAACUCCAAGGAUGAGUUAAAGAUAUACAAGUGUUGAAGUGGGCCAUAACCCACAGGACCCAGGAUUUGAUAAGGAAACAAGCACAAUCUUGUUGAAGAAAAUAAUUCUGAAAGAAGCCAUGAUUUCAUCAGCAUACGUUUCAUAGGAGGUUACAUAAACCCAGGAGUUGUGAAUAAACGAUAGAGGUUUUCUUUGGCUUGCAGAACCAAUGGAUUUAUCCGAACCCAGUUCGUGGAGAAGAGAAGUUUUGCAAUGCUUGUGAGGAUGCCCAAGGGCUAGAAUGCGUGAUUCACUAUCUACGUAUGUGGUAAUGAUUCAAGUACGACAUGGAUUGGCCCCCAUACCGGAGACUUCUAUCAUGAGCUAUCAUAUGAUUGAUAGAAAAUCAGAGAGCCUUAAAACCCUAGAAGAGUGUCGACACGACAAGCCAAAAGCCUUAGAAUGGCAGGAUGAUGGAAACCCUGUACAGGCACCUAUUGCCUACCGUAGGUUAUGCGGUGAGGUUCAACCCAGACCCAUUUCCUGUAGGAGGAACCAGAAAUUGUCGACCACCAUCAGGUUUUCGAUAGUUGUUUAGCAUUGGCGCCAGACCUGUCAAGUCUCAGAAGGAUCCUAUUUUGAUGCAAGGAAUCCUGAUAUUGAGGAAAAGGCCAUGCCCUUACCAGAAGAGCAAAAGUGAAGGGGUUAUCUCAGAGAAUAUGAGAAGACCGACACCGUCAACGCAAAGGAUGGAGUUCAUGAGUUUUAUUGGAACUGUAACCAUGCUUCUAAGGGUGGUAGCACCCCAUUCCUUGUGUUGAUGAAUGGAUUUUCAAGGAGAACCCCCAAACCUAACAUUCUUUCUAGCCUCUUCGAAUCUCGAGGACGAUAUUCAUUUUAAGGGUGGUAGUUUGUAACAUCCCAAAAUUCUAAAUUCUGGAAUGUUAUGUUAAAUAAUUAAUUAUGAUUGUUUGUUUGUUGUGUGAUUGAUUGUGUGAAAAUGAUUGGAAAUUGAAAACUUUUUGAAAGUAGAAUGAGAGGGAAUAAAAGGACUUUCCCGAAACUUUUCAUCUUGCAUUUUGAUCUUCCUGAAUUCAAAUUCAUUUCAUCAUAAAACCCUAGAGUGAAGAUAAUAUGACUUCUUCCAUUUAAAGAAAUGAAAAAAGGGGUUUGAAAAUGAUUUGAAUUCCAUUUGAAAAAUUUUAAAUUUUGAAACUUUAAGCAACUCAAUGAGUACAUGAGGGAAGAUAAAAUGACUUCUUCAGAUCGAUGGAAGAGAGUUGGAAGUUUCAAAGGAAUAAUUUGAAGUCACUUUGAAGUUAUUUGAAACUCAUUUUUCCAUUUGAAGUUGUUUGAAAUUCCAAAUUUCUAAUCCUCUUGGGAGUUAUUUAGUUUUAAUUCAAAUUAUUUUUCCCCUAAAAAUAAAUAGAUGGGAAUAAGGGUAAAUUGAUUCCCUUCAAUAGAAAAUUAGGAGAAAUAUAUCUGAAAUCAUUUUGCUAUUUUAAAAAUGAUUUUUAUUGAUUUUAAAUGCAAUAGUAGCACUGUUUGAAUUUUAUGAAUUUUUAUGGAAUUUAGUUGAACUUGAAAAAUAAUUCAUCUUAUUGCUACUAUUUUUCUGAGCAUUUUGGUAUAUAAUAUUCCUACGUAAAUUUUUUAGUUAUUUUCCUAUGUUGAAGUUUUUGUUUCUGCAAAAAAAAACAUGCGCCCGCCAGCCGGCCCAGGGCCUUCGGCCCAAGAGCCAGCCAGCGUACCGAGCCGGCCCAGCAGCGCCCCAGGCCGCCCGAGGCCUUACGCCUCGCUCGCGCGCGCCCCUCUUCCCUCGCUCGCUCUCUCCCACUACCGCUGCCAGUGGGGCCCGCAACCCUCCGUCCCUAACCUCCCGCUCCUCCCCUUCAGAUAGGGCACGCGCGUGCUGCCCGCAACUGCCGGCAGCUCCGCUCGGGAUAGAGCUCAUCCGCAGUCUCCGCAGCCUCUUCUUGAGCCUAUAAAUUCCCCCGACUCCCCUCGUUCGAUUCUGCCAUUCCGCAACGAUCCACGCCGCUCACAGCCGCCGCCUUCGUCGUUUGGAUCUUGCCCGCCGGAGCUACCUCGCCGGUCCGUUCCAUCGUCCGUAAGACUUCCUCGACCCCGUUCUUCUUUGUCAAUUGACUCCCCGCGUCGAGGCGCAUCUGAUUGACAAAAAUUUGCCGCCUAGGUCGUACCAGAGACGUCGCCCCGACGCGCCGUGCUCUUGCCGAAGCACCGGAGCUCCGCCGCCACCCUCCGCUCGUCGCUGGCCACCCCACCGCCCGCCGACCCCACCAGCACCCCGCCCACGCCGCGCCUGACCUCCCCGACCCCUUCGUCGCCGCUGAGGACCACCAGAGACGCCGCCCUGUCCGCCGUCCGCCGCCUGACGCCAACGGCACCGCACCUGUUCGCCGUCCUCGCUCGCUAUGAGCCGCUGAUCCUCGCUCAUUUUUUGUUGUUGUUGUUGUAUUAGAUCGGGUAACCGUGGUUUUAUUAAACCGUGCGGUUUAGUAAAAAACCGGUCUCCGGUUGUCUUUUUAUUUAGCCACGGUAGCCGUUUUAUUUAUUCAGUGGCCGUCCGCCGUUUAGCCUGAGCCGCGAACGCUGCUCAGCCACCCGGAAGCCGCCACGUGGCCAGGGACCUAGUCGUGAAUAAAACUUUCAUAGUCAAGUCCCUGAGUUUUCAAUUUAGCCCCUCAACUUCGAAUGGUUGUAUCUUUUUAACCGUAGCUCCAAAUUCGACGAAACCAGUGGCAAGAUGUUCGCCUCGAUUAGUUUUAUCCAGAGAACCAACUUUGAAAACUUUUGGCCAAAUUCAAAUUUGAAAUUUAUUCAGAUUUGAAUUCAAACUUCAACUGGCCAUAUCUCUUAAACCGUAGCUCCGAUUGGUGUGAUUCUUUUUGCAACGUGUCAUCAUAGCCAAACCCUACCACCUGGACCUUGUCACAAUACUUUUCACACAACUAGAAUCUGUCUAUGAUAGUUUUACUAUUAUGCCAUGCAUGCACUUUAGUACACAUCAUAGUUUUGAACCCCAUGUCACAAGUUGUUUUGCACUUAGGAUAUUUCCAUGCUAGUUAACUGUGUUGAAUGUUCAUUUGGUUUUUCUGAGACUUUGUGCUUUGCAUGUUCUUCUUGGUUCUCUGAAACGAUUGUUGAGAGUGACGAAUAGUUCUAUGAAGUAAAUUUCUGAGAGUGGUAUAAUCUUCAUCAACUAUUACCAGGCAAGUUCACAUUUGACCAUUUUUCCAAUUACCUAUGUUUAUAUUAUGCACUUAGUCCUUUUGUGGUAGGAUUGCAUGGUAGGAUUUAUUGUUACCAGAUGGCUAUGCCGUUACCUAGUAGUUCAUUUGAGGUAGGUAUGAUCUAUACAUCCUUGUCACCACCGUGUAAGUUUAUUUUUGCCUCGCUAAAUGUAGACGUGGUUUGGGAAGCGAACAUGGCGAGACAUGAGUGACAAACUAGUAAUCAAGACCAAGACUUGUAAAUGAACUACCUGGGCGGUAUUUGAUUUGAAUGGUGGUGAAGUACAGUGGGAGCAUGCAUGGUUAAUCCAUGGUGGUGCACCACUAGUGGUUGGCCGCUCAGGCUCAAAGAGAUGAAUCGUAUUCUCAUGUCUAGAAGCUUAUGUGUGCAGCCACAAGCCAAUAUGGGCUCUGGCUUAGUUGAGUAGUUAGUGUGACCCCUUCCGGGAUGGGCUAGCAGAUGUAGAAUGAUGUAGGUGUACCGGCCUAUCCAUGGGUUAAGGGGUGACAUUUUUGAAAGAGUAUGUCUCGGUCAUCCUGUUCUCAAACGCCAGGCAGUGCGAGAACUCCAGGGGAGGCGAUCGAGUCUUGUGGGGAAAAGUGCGCAAACCUCUGUAGAGUGUUUUUUUUGAACUUGACAGUGGGAGAGAACUCCCACUGUAUAUUUUCACAUAUCUAUAUAAAUGGGGUGUUUACAUAGACAUACCACUCACACACAUCCAGCUCCACUCUUGGUGGAACCACCAGGGGUGGGGCAACUACACCAUGGUCACUGCUAUACACUUGUCUCUAAGUAUUUAAAGAGGGAAGAAUAAAACACAGUAUGUCUCAGCUAAGUGUGCCACAAUAUGAAAGCAGGGCAGCUCUACGUGUACCCUGAACUCUAUGUUGCAGAAGUCCCAAGUUCUCUUUGAAUCGAUGGAACCAAGAUGCAAUGCUUGGGGUUACACCUCUGAAGUGUUUAUUGUUUCUUUCCUUCCACAAACUCCAGGUAGUAGUGAAAAAUGCUUCAAUGAAGAAAGGAUUGGGCCAGUUGGGUUGUGCGUUUUGCAACGCAUCAAACCUAUUUUGAAAAUCAAUCCAGUGAACACCUAUCUUGGCCCAACACCUUUCGCUGAACUGGCAGGUGAAGAUCAUAUGCUCGAGAGUCUCAUCUGCAUUUUGCCCACAAAGGAGACAUGUGAUGUCAUUCCCAAUGUCAUAGUGUCUUCUUCUCAGCAUGUCACAUGUGUUCAACCUGUCGUGCAGUAGCAACCAUCCAAAUACUUUGAUUUUCAUCAUACAGUUUGAUUUCCAAAGGAGCGGGAAGAUGGGAUGAGCUGUUGCAUCACGGGAGAAGUUGUUAUAGUAGUCUUUUGGCUUGUACCCAGCUGUCCCCCAAGCAUAGAGCCAAACAUCAGAUAUUGUUGUGGAUGGGUGUAUGCGGAAUGCUGCAUGUUGGACAUCUUGCACCUCGUUGAGCGCACGAGCAGACAGCGGUAGGUGAAAGGUUUCAUGCAGUUCAGUGUUGGCCCAGAAGUCAGCGACCGUCAUGUCUUCCUGCAGAGCAAAUGAAAAGGCACGCGGGUGCGAUGUUUGUAGCACAUCAUUUGACCACAAGUCUUUCCAGAGCAGCGUAGUCGAGCCAUCAACUACUUGGACACGAGUGAUCCCUCGGUAGAUGGGCGUUAAUUUGAGAAUGUCUUUCCACCAGAAAGAACCGACUAGAUCAACCGCAUGAGGCACCUGGUUAGCAUACUGAUUAUCCCAAAGCAUAGUAACCCAUGGUACGUCCAGUUUGUUAUAGAACUUGUGGAGAAAUUUUAGCAGGAGGGCUUCGUUGUAGAUUGUAAUGUUGAUCACUCCUAACCCACAUUUACACUUGGGCUUGCACACUAGUUCCCAAGCCGCAAGCGAAUUACAUUUGUCACCUUGGUCGGUUUUCUUUGUCCAGAGACAUCUCCUUCUAAUCUUGUCAAGAAUUUCAAUUAGAUUCGGAGGGAACUUGAGCGUGCACAUGGCAAACACCAGAAGGGAUGUGACCGAUGCAUUGAGCCAGGAGAGGCGGCCCCCAUAGGACAUCAUAGCGAUCGUGGCAGUGAGACGAUGCUCCAUUUUGCAAACUAGAGGCAUGAAUUCUUGAAUGGUUGGUCUUGUAGUGCCAAGUGGCAGGCCAAGGUAGGUGAAAGGCAUUGUACCUAUAGUGCAGCCAAAAUGGCAGCAAGGCUAGAGGUUGCACUUGCGUCCAGGUUGAUUGGUAUGAGCGUCGACUUGUGAAAGUUAAUUUUGAGGCCAAUAGAGGAUGCAUAGUCAGAGAGAAUGUUCUUGACACGGGCAGCCUGUUAUGGGCAAGCAGGCAAGACAAGGAGGGUGUCGUCCGCAUAUUGGAUCACUGGGUAAUCAUUUUGCCCAUUGCAUGGAAAAGGCAGGCUGAUAUCUCCAUGUCGAUAAGCAUCAUUGCCGUGGCUUGAAGUAGUUCAGCUGCCAGGACGAAAAUGAGGGGGGACAGAGGAUCACCUUGCCGCACACCGCAUCGACAAAGGAACUGUCGGCCUGGGACCCCAUUAAGAAGUUUGGACGAGCGACCCGAGGAGAAGAGGCACUUGAUCCAGGAGAUCCACUUGUCAUUGAAACCCAUCUGCUGCAUAAUGCAAAUCAUUGGUUCAUGCGUGAUGGUAUCGAAUGCUUUGGCGAAAUCAAGUUUAAGAAUAAUGAUUGGCCGGCCCAAGUUUUGACAGUGAUAAAGAUAUUGAUAAUCUCAUGCCAGACAAUUCUGUAUAGUAUGCCCUUUAAUGAACCCAUACUGAUUCCGGUGAAUGAGGGUGAGAAUGACAAGUUGAAGUCUGUCUGCUAGCAGUUUGGUAAUCAACUUGAGGCAGCAGUUGAGCAAUGUAAUGAGUCUGAAAUCAUUGACUGUUUCUGGAGAGUUAGUCUUAGGUAUAAGUGUGAUAAGACCAUCAUUGAUACUUGUGACAUCUAACGUACCUUCAUAGAACCGAUCACAUAGGGUGUAAAAGUCAUGUCGAAUGAUGGGCCAGCAGGCUUUCAAAAACGCCCCACUAAAGCCAUCUGGGCCAGGUGCGUGGUCCGGAGGCAUACCUUUGACCACAUUAUCGAUUUCCUCAUGUGAAAAAGGCGUGGUAAGUUGGUCAAGAUUUGUAGCGCAGGGGAUAAUGUUUGGAAGAUCAAAUUUCAUGUCUGAAGGGGAGACCGUACCCAGGCGGUUUUUGUAAGUUUGAAACAAGAGGGCCUCUUUUGCAGGAUGAUUGUCGACCAAUGUGCCAUCCUCAAGCUUGAGUGAGGAGAUAUUGUUUUGUCGAUAACGUUCCCUGGCCACUGCUUGGAAAAAUUUGGAGUUUUCAUCGCCAAACUUGAUCCAACGAAUAGUACAACGCUUCUUCCAAUAAAGUUUUUGAUAUUUGAGCAGUCUCAGCAAGUGUGACUUUAGGAUACGUUUGAAGUUCAUUUCUGGAAUUGAAAGGAUUCGUUUAUUCUGCCAGGACAUGGUUACAGUUCGUGAUGGCCACUAAUAGACGAGAAAUAUUCUUACUCCAGAUUUUGAGAGCGUGUCGAAGAGCUUUGAAUUUUCGGCAAGGGAUUGUGGCAGCAUUUGCGUUCCAAACUGGCCAUUCCCAAACCUCUCUAACUAUGUCCAUAAACCCUGGGUGUAAGGUCCAGUAGGAUUCAAAACGAAAGAGCUUGGAUCGGGGGAUUUUGGUCUCUAUGGUGACAAUGCAAGGGAUGUGAUCAGAAACGGGCUUGCCAAGGGGUUUAACGAGCAUCUUAGGAUAUGUGUUACUCCAAUGCAAGGAUGUGAAGAACCAGUCAAUCUGUUCAAGCAAAGGAUCGGUCUGCAUAUUGCUCCAAGUGUAGGUUCUACCUUUUACCGGAAGCUCAAUCAGUUGCUGCUGACGAAUGAUGUCAUUGAACGUAAUCAUGUCGUGAAUGUUACCCCCAGGUUUAUUAUGAUUGUCUGGAGCUCUCAUGUAGUUAAAGUCGCCCAAAAGUAACCAGUCUUGGUUACGGGGUAUUUGAACAUCGUACAACCAUUGCGUGAAAACAUCCCUGUCUGUACCAGUGCAAGGCCCGUACACGUUAACUAACGUCCAACGUUGAGAGGAUUGCAUGCUAACGAACUCGAUGGCUAGCGCAAAUGGAUCAGAUGAGAGUACUGAACCAGAGAAAACCGAGCUUUUCCAGAUUGUAAGUAACCCCCAGAGGCGCCGCGCGAAGGGACAAAAGCAAAACGAUCAAAUUGUCUAGGAUAGCAAGUUUUAAUAGAAGCAAAAGUAACCUCAGGCAUCUUAGUCUCCUGAAGACAAGUGAUAGCAAAACCACUGGUAGAGAUAGCAUUAUUCAGAGCCAGUCGCUUCUUCUCAGAAUUGAGCCCACGGAUAUUCCAUGAGAGCACAUUCCAGCAGCUCAACGACGUCAUAUAGAACUCCAAUAUUAAGCAGAGGUGUGAGAGAGAUCCUCUCCCUGGUCAUCACUGUCAAUCAAAGAGGCAGAAUAUUCGGGCACGACAGCAGUUUCAGCAAGCAGGGCUUCUUCAGAAAGUUCAGUAGCAGGUAUAGCACAUCUGUUAACUCCAAUGGAUUGUAGAGUAACUAUAGGAGUUGGGGGCGGGACCUCACCAGCAGAAGUAGCAGCAGAUGCUGAUGUGCCAAUAGACGGGAUGACACAGGGCUUAACUUUGGAAUUGUUCUUGCGACUGUCAGAGAGGGGAGGAACCUUGACCGCAUCAUACGUGUUGGAGCGGAGACUGCGACGCACUUCAGUUGUGGAGAUAGGGGCAGCAGCCCUGGUCCUACGGGGGCGCGGGCCAGUGGUGGCCAUAGAAGCAGUUGCCUCUGAGAUCACAGAAGGUUCUGAAGGUGGAAUGUGCACAACUUGUUCUGUGUCCAUUGGGGCGUCUUAAGUGUUGGGCGGCAUGGCGGGCUCAAUGGCGUUUUCCACACUAGCAUGUUCAGAUAGGUCCUCAAUGAUCACAGCGGAGGCAGCCAAAGCAGAAGUAGAGCUUGAUUGCUAGGAAAAGGUCAGACUAGUAGAAUCCUGUGUGAUCAAGACAGACAACUGGACCUGGUUUGUUCUCAGACCAAACCCCUCUCUCCAAGGUCCAAAAGUUGCAAGCAUUGGGCUAACAGCUUGGAAGAUGAAUGUGUUAAGAUUCAGGCGUGGGAUUGGGUCAUUCAGCAGCCUGGAAAGGAUCUCAUCUCCUUGAGCAGAUAAACCAAAUCUGACACCUUGAUCAUUGAUCUCCAGUGUGAUGUUAAGAGAUUCAAAGCUUGCACUGUCAGACAGCUGUAUAGCUGGAUCAGCCGGGAUGAGAAUGUCAGACUGGGUCGAGCUUGAACUGUCAGACUGGGUGAUCGAAUCAUUCCAAGCUUGGAGAGCAUUAUCAGUGACAUUGUUUUCAGGGACUAACCCAUGUUGCACAGUCAGACCCUGCGCAGCAAGCCAGGCUUGGUAGUUCACCAAAUGGAGCGGCAUUUGCGGGAGUGGAGGAGCAGCGGGCGCCUCCCAAGUGCCCCAUCCAGUGUUGUCAUCCACUUGUUGAGCCUCAUUGUUGCCAGCUGCGGGUGCACCAUUCUGAAUGAGCCAAUUGUGAACUUGCUGCUGAUAUAACUGUUCUGCAGUGAGUUCAGGGCCAAACUGUGGAUGUGGGUUGCCAUCGGGGGGUGGCAUUUCCUCAGGUGCAGCAGGUACAUCAGGGAGGAGGCCAUUCCAGUCGUUGCUGCGACGGAUGGUCACUACUACUGUCCAACUGUCGUGCGCACCACCCAGCUGCCAUACCACAAAGCUCUUGGGGAUGAGGCGCAGACUAAGUACUCUGACUUUUAGAAGGAUGAAUCUGCGGUCCUGACGCGGAUUAUACCAGGAAACUAAGGAACCAUAUCCACCCAAGGCCUUAGUGAUGUAAUAGUCCAUUUGGUAGUCAUACGGAAAGCCGAAGAACAUAAUCCAAAUCUCAGGCCCAAACGGUGCAGCUCUACGAUUAAGAGCCGCAUUGUGCGAAACGAAGGUGAUCAACAGAUCUUCAUCUUCAAGCUCAAGCGGUGUGUUGACAACAUUAUCUCUCAUAAAGGAAUCCACAAAACCGAAAAUCCCAACACCAAGGGGGUGAUCACUGACCUCUGUAGUAAAAAGCUGUGAUUCUUGAAACAGAGUUGUGAUCCGAUGGCGGACGGUGGCCCGGCGAUGCAGGGGCACAUACUCACUGGCUUCUGCAAUGGCCAGGAACUCAUGGCUGAGUGGAGCAAUCGAGCCAACGACCAUGCCGCUGUGCACAAGAUGAUCGGCCGGCCCUGGCUCACCCGCAAAACCCGGCGGGAGGAAAGGCACAGGGUUUAGUGGGUAGUUCGCCAUUGUGGUGGAAGGGAUCAGAGGGGAGGACGGUGGUGCAGUGAUGGGAUGUAACUGCAAUGGCGCAAGCUGCAGCAAAGCGUCAGACUGUGGCGAUGGGACUGGACGGGAUGUGGCCCGUUGGGUUCUCGAGGAGGAAGCUGAAGCGUGAAUGGGGGUAGGAGGCAAAGUUGCCUUUGCAACCUCUGUAGAGAGUUAAAACCUAAUCGAUUAGCCGUGUCCCCGGUUACAGACAACUUGAGCAUCUAGUAGUGGAAAUGAUGGGAGAUCUCAUCACUCUUAAUUAAACAGUUGGGUUUUAAAUGAAACAUUGGGAAUGGAUUGAGUUGUGUUUGCCAACUCAUACUAUGCUAUACUGUAGUGAUAGACUAAUAUCUUUUAUUCUAGGGAAAAACUAGCUUUAUGCAAAAACUAAACUUAGAGCUUUCCACCAGCCAAAUUGCAUGUACAAAUAGGUUCAUUAUUCUUAUGAUGUGACUUGCCAGUACAUUCAAUGUACUGACCUAUAGGGCUGCAACGUCUUAUGUUGCAGGAAUUUCUACGACGAGUAAGAAUUAUGUUGUAGGGUUAUGGUCUACACUCAACUUGCCGUUGGCGUUGAUGGGACUCCACACCCGUUCGAUUGUUUCCACUGAGAUUUAUGAGGUAUAUAUCAGUUUUGCAUUAUUUAUACAUUUGAUUGAACUUUGAUAUAUACAUUGAUGUACUGUGUGUGCCAGCAUAUCGAUCCAGGGAUGGCCCGGAUACACAGAGGCUUGACAGUUUGAGCUCGGGUCGCUACAGAGAUGGUAUCAGAGCACAUGUUGACUAUAGGACGUGACCCUAGAAACUGGAAAGCCCUUAGGAAAAGAUUUCUCUAAAAGUUUAUUUUCAAAAAGAUCCUUUACCUCUCUUCUUUUCUGAGCUUUAUCAAAUCUUUCCUUUUACCCCAAAUAGGUAGGCAAUAUCCCUUUUCCCUUUCACCACGCGGAGGAUCAACUGAUGAGACCACUCCAAGAAGGGCAAGAUAUCGGCCAACUGAUGGCCACUUCAAAGUAAAGAGGAUUUCAUCAUGCAUUAGAACAGUUAAUGCUACGACAGUCGAAGACUCGAAGAAUUUGAAGACACUGAAGAAUUCCAAGAUUUAUAUGACCUUUAGAAGACCAAACCCUUGUUGUGUACUCACGUUAGAUGCGAUGAUUUGUGAGCUGUCAUAUUUGGUGUGUGUUUUCCGAUGCAAUAAAUAAAACUUAUUUUCAAAACUAUAUUGUUUGUAUUUUGUGUAUCUUUCUCUAUCCCUCUUAUCUCAUCCCAAAACCCUUGGACCCAAUAGAUGAUGAAUGAAGAUGGACUUGUAUUCUCUGGACCGAUCACUCGGUUAGAGGAAGAGCUAUGGAUUCAAAACAUGGAGAGUCACUUCGAGAGCAAUUUGGUUGCAAGGAAGUAUGAGGUUCAAUAUGCUCUUUAAUACUUUACAAAAAGUGCUACAACAUGGUGGAAAAUGCAUCAAGCCAUACAAGGAUGUAAUGGAGCAAAAACUUGGGAGGAAUUGAAGAAGACUCUAUUGGGAUCCCGUCUUAUCCGGAAGCACGGUGAUAAACUGAUGAAGAAACCUUGUGCCUGCAAGAUAUGUGGAGAAAUAGGACACACCCAUGAAGAACACAAGGAUGGAUGCCCUCAUUAUGAAGGAAAUCACCCAGCAGAAGAGUGCCCAACUAGGCAGGUUACUUGUUUCUUGUGUGAAGGAACUACGCACUACCCUGCCCAGUGUCAUAUUUACCCCAGGGUACAAGAAAUUACCAAGAAGAAGUGGGGUUUGAUCGACAAGAGAUAGAAGAAUUGAUCGGAAUGAAGAAGUCGAGGAAGAGAAAGAGCAUGUAUCCCCAGAACAACCCAGUUUCUACAGAAAAGGACCUGAGUCAUAUCACUUGUUACAGCUGCAAGGAUUUAGCUCAUUAUUCUAGCAAAUGCCCACCAAGGAAGCCAAGAACCCAAGGAGCCAAGAUAACCACCAGGAACCCCUGGAUUUGUCUGACGCCAUUUGUUUACGCUGCAAAGGAGUAGGACAUUUUGUCAGAGAAUGUUCAGACCCGAGGAAAGCUUGAGCAGAGUAGUUGAGAUCUUGAUAUUGGAAUAAAGCAUGUAAUAAAUGUGGAACGCACUUUUAUUUUCGUGGGGGGUGUUGAUACGUCUCCAACGUAUCUAUAAUUUUUGAUUGCUCCAUGCUAUAUUAUCUACUGUUUUGGACUAUAUUGGGCUUUAUUUUCCACUUUUAUAUUAUUUUUGGGACUAACCUAUUAACCGGAGGCCCAGCCCAGAAUUACUGUUUUUUUGCCUAUUUCAGUGUUUUGGAUAAACGGAAUAUCAAACGGAGUCCAAACGGAAUAAAAUCUUCGGGAACGUGAUUUUCUCACCGAACGUGAUCCAUGAGACUUGGACCUUGCUCUAAGGAACAAAAGAGGCGGUCACGAGGGUGGGGGGUGCCCCCCCUAGGGCGCGCCCCCUGCCUCGUGGGCCCCUCGUUGCUCCUUCGGCGUACUUCUUCCUCCUAUAUAUACACAUGUACCCCCAAACGAUCAGAAGAGGAGCCAAAAACCUAAUUCCACCGCCGCAACUUUCUGUAUCAGAAGAGAUCCCAUCUUGGGGCCUGUUCCGGAGCUCUGCCAGAAGAGGGCCGUCAUCACGGAGGGCUUCUACAUCAUCCUAGCCCCUCUGAUGAAGUGUGAGUUGUUUACCUCAGACCUUCGGGUCCAUAGUUAGUAGCUAGAUGGCUUCUUCUCUCUCUUUGAAUCUCAAUACAAAGUUCUCCCCCUCUCUUGUGGAGAUCUAUUCGAUGUAAUCUUCUUUUUGCGGUGUGUUUGUUGAGACCGAUGAAUUGUGGGUUUAUGAUCAAGUCUAUCUAUGAAUAAUAUUUGAAUCUUCUCUGAAUUCUUUUAUGUAUGAUUGGUUAUCUAUGCAACUCUCUUCGAAUUGUCCGUUUGGUUUGGCCAACUAGAUUGGUAGUUCUUGCCAUGGGAGAACUGCUUAGCUUUGGGUUCGAUCUUGUGGUGUCCUUACCUAGUGACAGAAGGGGCAGCAAGGCACGUAUUGUAUCGUUGCCAUCGAGGAUAAAAAGAUGGGGUUUAUUUCAUAUUGCAUGAAUUUAUCUCUCUACAUCAUGUCAUCUUGCUUAAGGCGUUACUCUGUUUUUAACUUAAUACUCUAGAUGCAUGCUGGAUAGCGGUCGAUGAGUGGAGUAAUAGUAGUAGAUGCAGAAUCGUUUCGAUCUACAUGUCACGGACGUGAUGCCUAUAUACAUGAUCAUGCCUAGAUAUUCUCAUAACUAUGCUCAAUUCUGUCAAUUGCUCAAUAGUAAUUUGUUCACCCACCGUAGAAUACUUAUGCUCUUGAGAGAAGCCACUAGUGAAACCUAUGGCCCCCGGGUCUAUUCUCAUCAUAUCAAUCUCCAUCACUUUAAAUCUUGCUUUGUUUUUACUUUGCUUUUACUUUUUAAUUUGCAUCUUUAUACCAAAAAUACCAAAAAUAUUAUAUCUAUCAGAUCUCAUUCUCGUAAGUGACCGUGAAGGGCUUGACAACCCCUAAUCGCGUUGGUUGCGAGUAGCUAUCGCUUUGUGCAGGUACGAGGGACUUGAGCGUGGGCUCCUACUGGAUUGAUACCUUGGUUCUCAAAAACUGAGGGAAAUACUUACGCUACUGUGCUGCAUCAUCCCUUCGUCUUCGGGGAAAACCAACGCUAGCUCAAGAUGUAGCAGGUGUUGAGUUGAGUUACCGAAUGGAAAUUGUAAUAGCUCAUGAAGCAAUAAAAAUUGAGGUGUUUGGAAUCUCAUAUGAAAUGUUAUGAGUUGUUUGUUGAUUGUGAGUGCCUCUCUCACUAUGUCACCCAGACAUAAACCUUGAACCCAUGGACAAGCUGACCCCAAAACCUUCACUAAAAAAACGACAUUUCACCCAAGGAAAUACAUGCAUUAUCCUAAGUACCCCUUCUAUCUUAUACCUGCAGAUGGCAACCCUUUACGAGUCUUUUCUCAAGGGCCCAGAAACGAUCAUGACCCUAACUAGUGAUCAGGAUUACCCAAAGAUCCUCAAGGACAUGAUGAAGCAUAUUCAUCUUGAAGGAGAUGCAGUCUACAAGGGUUAUCCUUUCAUGGAGAAUGGAGUUGAACUUUGGUACGUGGAGGUACACCUCCACCGUGUGAAGGGAGUUUUCCCAAAGAGUAUGGGGCAAUACUUUUUCAUUUCUCGAGUACCCCGAGCAACAUUCUUCGACUCUGUUCGUGAAACUGCUAUGGAAGCCAUACGUCAGAUUGGAGAAAUACUUGAAGCCAGACUUCGUUAUACUCAGGAAUACCCGAGGGAGGUGCAUGCAGAGAUGAUGGAGAUGAAGCUCAUGGCCACCAUGAUGAAGCAAAAGGUCGAUGAUUUCAAGGACCACAUUGUACAAUUCCAGUGGGACUAAAUUAUCUUCAAGAAGGGCAAAUGAAUAAAGAUGGAAGUAAUGCUUGACCAUAGCAAACUAUGUGGAUGGCAGCUUUUUGUAAUAGAGUACUUUUGAAAUUUGAGUUUUGAGUAGUGGUUAAGGAUGUAAUAAAGGAUUUGAUAUGAAGAGAAUUAUGGAUGAACCAGUGCAUUUUUUGGCGAUACCUGUCUGUGCGAACACUUGACCAAUGGAAAAGGAAAUGUAUGCCAUAGAGUGAAGUUUGGACAAAUGAGUUGGAGUUUGGUUUUAGUUAUGAUGGUUACCCCAAGAGUAUGAAGGAAUGAAGUACUAUUGGAUUUAAAGGAGAUGUAAUGUUGGAAUAUGGAACAAUAGUAACUCCAAGGAUGAGUUAAAGAUAUACAAGUGUUGAAGUGGGCCAUAACCCACAGGACCCAGGAUUUGAUAAGGAAACAAGCACAAUCUUGUUGAAGAAAAUAAUUCUGAAAGAAGCCAUGAUUUCAUCAGCAUACGUUUCAUAGGAGGUUACAUAAACCCAGGAGUUGUGAAUAAACGAUAGAGGUUUUCUUUGGCUUGCAGAACCAAUGGAUUUAUCCGAACCCAGUUCGUGGAGAAGAGAAGUUCUGCAAUGCUUGUGAGGAUGCCCAAGGGCUAGAAUGCGUGAUUCACUAUCUGCGUAUGUGGUAAUGAUUCAAGUACGACAUGGAUUGGCCCCCAUACCGGAGACUUCUAUCAUGAGCUAUCAUAUGAUUGAUAGAAAAUCAGAGAGCCUUAAAACCCUAGAAGAGUGUCGACACGACAAGCCAAAAGCCUUAGAAUGGCAGGAUGAUGGAAACCCUGUACAAGCACCUAUUGCCAACCGUAGGUUAUGCGGUGAGGUUCAACCCAGACCCAUUUCCUGUAGGAGGAACCAGAAAUUGUCGACCACCAUGAGGUUUUCGAUAGUUGUUUAGCAUUGGCGCCAGACCUGUCAAGUCUCAGAAGGAUCCUAUUUUGAUGCAAGGAAUCCUGAUAUUGAUGAAAAGGCCAUGCCCUUACCAGAAGAGCAAAAGUGAAGGGGUUAUCUCAGAGAAUAUGAGAAGACCGACACCGUCAACGCAAAGGAUGGAGUUCAUGAGUUUUAUUGGAACUGUAACCAUGCUUCUAAGGGUGGUAGCACCCCAUUUCUUGUGUUGAUGAAUGGAUUUUCAAGGAGAACCCCCAAACCUAACAUUCUCUCUAGCCUCUUCGAAUCUCGAGGACGAUAUUCAUUUUAAGGGUGGUAGUUUGUAACAUCCCAAAAUUCUAAAAUUUGGAAUGUUAUGUUAAAUAAUUAAUUAUGAUUGUUUGUUUGUUGUGUGAUUGAUUGUGUGAAAAUGAUUGGAAAUUGAAAACUUUUUGAAAGUGGAAAGAGAGGGAAUAAAAGGACUUUCCCGAAACUUUUCAUCUUGCAUUUUGAUCUUCCUGAAUUCAAAUUCAUUUCAUCAUAAAACCCUAGAGUGAAGAUAAUAUAACUUCUUCCAUUUAAAGAAAUGAAAAAAGGGGUUUGAAAAUGAUUUGAAUUCCAUUUGAAAAAUUUUAAAUUUAGAAACUUUAAGCAACUCAAUGAGUACAUGAGGGAAGAUAAAAUGACUUCUUCAGAUCGAUGGAAGAGAGUUGGAAGUUUCAAAGGAAUAAUUUGAAGUCACUUUGAAGUUAUUUAAAACUCAUUUUUCCAUUUGAAGUUGUUUGAAAUUCCAAAUUUCUAAUCCUCUUGGGAGUUAUUUAGUUUUAAUUCAAAUUAUUUUUCCCCUAAAAAUAAAUAGAUGGGAAUAAGGGUAAAUUGAUUCCCUUCAAUAGAAAAUUAGGAGAAAUAUAUCUGAAAUCAUUUUCCUAUUUUAAAAAUGAUUUUUAUUGAUUUUAAAUGCAAUAGUAGCACUGUUUGAAUUUUAUGAAUUUUUAUGGAAUUUCGUUGAACUUGAAAAAUAAUUCAUCUUAUUGCUGCUAUUUUUCUGAGCAUUUUGGUAUAUAAUAUUCCUACAUAAUUUUUUUAGUUAUUUUCCUAUGUUGAAGUUUUUGUUUCUACAAAAAAAAACAUGCGCCCGCCAGCCGGCCCAGGGCCUUCGGCCCAAGAGCCAGCCAGCAUACCGAGCCGGCCCAGCAGCGCCCCAGGCCGCCCGAGGCCUUACGCCUCGCUCGCCCGCGCCCCUCUUCCCUCGCUCGCUCUCUCCCACUGCCGCUGCCAGUGGGGCCCGCAACCCUCCGUCCCUAACCUCCCGCUCCUCCCAUUCAGAUAGGGCACGCGCGUGCUGCCCGCAACUGCCGGCAGCUCCGCUCGGGAUAGAGCUCAUCCGCAGUCUCCGCAGCCUCUUCUUGCACCUAUAAAUUCCCCCGACUCCCCUCGUUCGAUUCUGCAAUUCCGCAACGAUCCACGCCGCUCACAGCCGCCGCCUUCGUCGUUUGGAUCUUGCCCGCCGGAGCUACCUUGCCGGUCCGUUCCAUCGUCCGUAAGACUUCCUCGACCCCGUUCUUCUUUGUCAAUUGACUCCCCGCGUCGAGGCGCAUCUGAUUGACAAAAAUUUGCCGCCUAGGUCGUACCAGAGACGUCGCCCCGACGCGCCGUGCUCUUGCCGAAGCACCGGAGCUCCGCCGCCACCCUCCGCUCGUCGCUGGCCACCCCACCGCCCGCCGACCCCACCAGCACGCCGCCCACGCCGCGCCUGACCUCCCCGACCCCUUCGUCGCCGCUGAGGACCACCAGAGACGCCGCCCUGUCCGCCGUCCGCCGCCUGACGCCAGCGGCACCGCACCUGUUCGCCGUCCUCGCUCGCUAUGAGCCGCUGAUCCUCGCUCAUUUUUUGUUGUUGUUGUUGUAUUAGAUCGGGUAACCGUGGUUUUAUUAAACCGUGCGGUUUAGUAAAAAACCGGUCUCCGGUUGUCUUUUUAUUUAGCCACGGUAGCCGUUUUAUUUAUUCAGUGGCCGUCCGCCGUUUAGCCUGAGCCGCGAACGCUGCUCAGCCACCCGGAAGCCGCCACGUGGCCAGGGACCUAGUCGUGAAUAAAACUUUCAUAGUUAAGUCCCUGAGUUUCCAAUUUAGCCCCUAAACUUCGAAUGGUUGUAUCUUUUUAACCGUAGCUCCAAAUUCGACGAAACCAGUGGCAAGAUGUUCGUCUUGAUUAGUUUUAUCCAGAGAACCAACUUUGAAAACUUUUGGCCAAAUUCAAAUUUGAACUUUAUUCAGAUUUGAAUUCAAACUUCAACUGGCCAUAUCUCUUAAACCGUAGCUCCGAUUGGUGUGAUUCUUUUUGCAACGUGUCAUCAUAGCCAAACCCUACCACCUGGACCUUGUCACAAUACUUUUCACACAACUAGAAUCUGUCUAUGAUAGUUUUACUAUUAUGCCAUGCAUGCACUUUAGUACACAUCAUAGUUUUGAACCCCAUGUCACAAGUUGUUUUGCACUUAGGAUAUUUCCAUGCUAGUUAACUGUGUUGAAUGUUCAUUUGGUUUUUCUGAGACUUUGUGCUUUGCAUGUUCUUCUUGGUUCUCUGAAAUGAUUGCUGAGAGUGACGAAUAGUUCUAUGAAGUAAAUUUCUGAGAGUGGUAUAAUCUUCAUCAACUAUUACCAGGCAAGUUCACAUUUGACCAUUUUUCCAAUUACCUAUGUUUAUAUUAUGCACUUAGUCCUUUUGUGGUAGGAUUGCAUGGUAGGAUUUAUUGUUACCAGAUGGCUAUGCCGUUACCUAGUAGUUCAUUUGAGGUAGGUAUGAUCUAUACAUCCUUGUCACCACCGUGUAAGUUUAUUUUUGCCUCGCUAAAUGUAGACGUGGUUUGGGAAGCGAACAUGGCGAGACAUGAGUGACAAAGUAGUAAUCAAGAUCAAGACUUGUAAAUGAACUACCUGGGCGGUAUUUGGUUUGAAUGGUGGCGAAGUACAGUGGGAGCAUGCAUGGUUAAUCCAUGGUGGUGCACCACUAGUGGUUGGCCGCUCAGGCUCAAAGAGAUGAAUCGUAUUCUCAUGUCUAGAAGCUUAUGUGUGCAGCCACAAGCCAAUAUGGGCUCUGGCUUAGUUGAGUAGUUAGUGUGACCCCUUCCGGGAUGGGCUAGCAGAUGUAGAAUGAUGUAGGUGUACCGGCCUAUCCCUGGGUUAAGGGGGAACAUUUUAGAAAGACUAUGUCUCGGUCAUCCUGUUCUCAAACGCCAGGCAGUGCGAGAACUCCAGGGGAGGCGAUCGAGUCUUGUGGGGAAAAGUGCGCAAACCUCUGCAGAGUGUUAAAAUCUAAUCGAUUAGCCGUGUCACCGGUUACGGACAACUUGAGAAUCUAGUAGUGGAAAUGCUGGGAGAUCUCAUCACUCUUAAUUAAACAGUUGGGUUUUAAAUGAAACUUUGGGAAUGGAUUGAGUUGGGUUUGCCAACUCAUCCUAUGCUAUACUAUAGUGAUAGACUAAUAUCUUUUAUUCUAGGGAAAAACUAGCUUUAUGCAAAAACUAAACUUAGGGCUUUCCACCAGCCAAAUUGCAUGUACAAAUAGGUUCAUUAUUCUUAUGAUGUGAAUUACCAGUACAUUCAAUGUACUGACCUACAGGGCUGCAACGUCUUAUGUUGCAGGAAUUUCUAAGACGAGUAAGAAUUACGUGGUAGGGUUACGGUCUACACUCAACUUGCCAUUGGCGUUGAUGGGACUCUGCGCCCAUUCGAUUGUUUCCCUGAGAUUUAUGAGGUAUAUAUCAGUUUUACGUUAUUUAUACAUGUGAUUGAACUUUGAUAUAUACAUUGAUGUACUGUGUGUGCCAGCAUACCGAUCCAGGGAUGGCACGGAUACACAGAGGCUUGACCGUUUGAGGUCGGGUUGCUACAGCAAAUCAGCUAGAUCUUUCAAGGCAAACUCUGAGAUCAAAUCAUGCAGAAUGGCAUUAGUAGCACUUUGUGAUGAACUUGCAACUAUGAUGCAUCCACAUAUAUGAGAACAAAGAUAACUACUUUUCCCUUGUUAUAAAUGAACAAAGAUGUAUCAGCUUGGAAGCACUAAAACCAAGACAUUUCAAUUGAGAGCUCAACCUGGAGUACCAUGCUUUAGGUGCUUGUUUCAAGCUAUAGAGUGCUUUGUCAAGCUUGCACACAUAAUGUGGUGUUUUCUUACUCUCAUAUCCUGGUGGUUGUCUCAUGAAUACCUCCUCUUCCAGAACACCAUGUAAAAACGCAUUCUGUACAUCUAGCUAUCUCAAGCUCGAUCCCUUGGAUACAGCACUAGCUAACACAAAUCUUAUAGUUGCAGCUUUUACAACCGGACUGAAGGUAUCCUCAUAGUCUAUGCCAUAGCGUUGUUUAAAGCCCUUUGCAACUAGACGUGCCUUAUAUCUGUCAAUGGAGCCAUCUGCUUUCUUUUUAAUUCUAUACACCCACUUGCAAUCAAUAAUAUUUUUACCUCUCUUAUCAGGCACAAGAUGCCAAGUUUUGUUCCUCAUAAGUGCAGAAUAUUCCUCAUCCAUUGCUUUCUUCCAUUUAGGGUCACCAAGUGCAUCAUUCAGUGUCAUUGCUUCCCCUGAAAUACAUAGCAUGCCAUACCGUAUAGUACCAUCAGUUUGUAUUUUGGGAUUAUGGAUACCUUUUUGUAACCUGGUCAUAACUCGCAAGGGAGCUUCUUGUUGCAUGUGUACAGGAACAAGAUCCAUUGGCGCAGAAGAUCCACCUCUUGCUACUGAAUCUGCUGGUGAUGCAGAAGAUCCAUCGGACACUGGCGCAGAAGAUCCACUGGACCUUGGUGUGGCCCCCCUGCCACUGGACGCCCAGGAAACCACAUGGCUUCCAGGCAUAGACGAUCCGCUGCCAGGUUGCAUGUGCGCGGGACGCGAGGAGGAGCCGACCGCGCGACUGGUCCCACUGGGCCCACUAUCGGGUGACGCGUCGGCGUGGGAGUGGCCCUCCCAGGAAUCUGGGCCGCUGCCACCUUGUACGCGAUCCAAGAAAGAUCUGUGCGCACGAUCCGAGGCCUGCAAGAGCGCAGGAGUACCAAGGAAUUCAACUGAUAUGAUUACUCUACUUAUUGAUGUGCAAUAAUGUAAUAUGACUAUUAAGAAGCAUUCUAACUGUGGAGGUGGUUUCACACUUCUUACUACAACAAAGGUGAUUGAAGGAUUCCUCGGCAGAAACUAGAACGCACACCUUCAAUAAUUGACGAGCUAAUUGGUUGUUGAACUUCAUGUUGAAGAUAUCUCAUGUAGGCCCAGGCCGGCGCAUAUAGUUAGUUGAGGAGUUGGUUAGCUUAGAGAUAGACUAUCAUCUAAUUAAACUUUUGUAUCUCUAUCUCCUAAUCUCUUGUACUCCAAGUUAUGUAUGCGUACAUGGGAUAAGCCUCAUCUCAAUCAAUAAAUACCCGCGGCCCUCUCUCGUGGAGGGUAGAACGCUUCCGAUAUAUUUCCUAUAUGGUCAUCAGAGCUUUCUCUUCUCGUCCAAAAACCAGAAAACCUAGAUUGCCAUCCUUCCCACCAUGUCAUCCUCCUCCAACCCCCCGACUCUCUCUGGUCUUGGUUACCAAAUCAGUGAGAAGCUCACCGCUGAGAACUACCUGCUGUGGAAGGCACAUAUCCUCCAGCACUUCCUUGGUGCCGGGCUCUAUGGCUAUCUAGACGACAACAUCGUCGAACCAGAGAAGCUCAUGGUCGCGAAGGACAAGGAUGGAAAGGAUCAAGCGGUCCCCAAUCCGGCGCAUGAUUCUUGGGUGCGGCAGGACCAACAGGUCCUUGGCCACAUCAUCAACAAUCUCUCGAUGGAGGUGCUGGUCUCGGUCGUCUCCAUUGGCGUGAGCUCUCUGGACAUCGAUGCGUAACAUGUUUGCUUCACAAUCUCAUUACCGCAUUAAUAAUAUCCAGAUUUCCCUGUCCAGUGCCUAAAAGGGCAAUCAGCGUCGGCAUACUUUGCUCGGAUGCGCAGAUAUGCUGAUGAACUUGCUGCUACCGGGAGACCUCUGCAAGAGGAUGAGCUCACCUCCUUCCUCCUGGCUGGGCUGGACCUCGACUACAACCCCCUUAUCUCAGCCCUCGACGACCGGACGGAUCCUAUCACCAUCGAUGACUUAUACUCACAGGUCUACAACUUUGAUCAGCGGGUGUCGCUGCUCAUGGGAGGCGUGGGCUUCAAGUCCUCUGCAAACUCUGCCCAGCAUGGUGGGCCACCUCCAUCUCGAGGCUUUGGAAAGCCGAGGGAUCAGAAGAAGCAAGGUGGUGGCGGCGGCUACAAGAAGAAACAAGGUGGCGGUGGGCAUCCCUACUACAUCAACACCAAGGGAGCUCGCUCUGGUGCCCCUGGAGGGCCAGGAGGUCUAGGAGGCCUCGAUGGUCCUCCACCCGCCAACAACCACAAGGGGAACGACCCCAUCCAGUGCCAGAUAUGCAUCAAGUUCGGGCACAGCACCAAGGACUGCUGGUAUCAUUUUGAUGAUGAUGCCCUUGAAUAAAAAGUUGUUGCUGCCACCCAGUAUGGGGUGGAUACAAAGUGGUAUGUUGACAGCGAUGCAACCGGUCAUCUCAUCGGCGAACUAGAGAAGUUGACAGUCCGCGACAAGUAUCGUGGGCAGGGUGAAAUCCAUGGCGCAAACAGAUCAGGUAUGAGGAUAGAUCAUGUUGGUCAUUCAGUUUUUCAAACCCCUAACCGUCCCAUCCAUCUUAAAAGAAUUUUACAUUAUCCUCAUGCCCAAACCAGUCUUCUUUCUGUAAAUCAUAUUGCCUUGGAAAAUCAAGUAUUUCUUGAAUUUCACCCCUUCUACUUUUCGAUCAAGGACCAGGCAACGAGGAGAAUCCUCUACAUAUGUAGAUGCAUUGGUGGGCUCUAUCCAUUGAUUCCUCGCUUUAGGAGUUCAAAUAAACAAGUUCUUGGUCUCACCAAAUUAUCUUCGGCAAGGUGGCACGAUCGAUUUGGGCAUCCUUCUUUUGCUAUAGUUCAACGAGUGCUUAGGAAAAAUAAGCUCCCUUUUGUUGGUGAGCCUAGUAGUGAAAAAAAUUGUGAUUCAUGUCAACGAGAAAAAAGUCAUCAACACCCUUCCCCUGUGUCAACUAGCGUUUCUUCCAAACCAUUAGAACUAUUUUUUUUCUGAUGUAUGGGGCAAGCAGCUCUUUCUGUUGGGAGACACAAGUAUUAUGUAAACUUUAUUGAUGAUUAUAGUAAGCAUACUUGGAUCUACCUUAUCAAGCAUAAAUCUGAUGUGUUUCAAGUAUUCCAAAAUUUCCAAGCACUUGUUGAACGAAAAUUCUCUAGCAAAAUAAUCUCUGUCCAAUCGGACUGGGGUGGCGAGUAUGAAAAAUUAAACUCGUUCUUUCAAAAACUGGGAAUUUCCCAUCAUGUCUCUUGUCCCCAUGCGCACCAACAGAAUGGUUCUGCAGAACGCAAGCAUAGACAUAUUGUCAAAGUUGGUCUUUCUCCUUGCUAAUGCAUCCAUGCCAUCGAAGUUUUGGGAUGAAGCAUUCAUCACUGCUACACAUCUCAUUAAUAUGUUGCUAAGCAGGGUUAUCAAUUUUGAAACACCCACCGUGUUGGGGAACGCAGUAUUUAAAAAAAAAUUCCUACGAUCACGCAAGAUUUAUCUAGGAGAUGCAUAGCAAGGAGAGGGGAGAGUGUGUCCACGUAUCCUCGUAGACCGAAAGCGGAGGCAUUUAGUAAUGCGGUUGAUGUAGUCGAACGUCUUUGCGAUCCAACCGAUCAAGUACCAAACGCACAGCACCUCCGCGAUCUGCACACGUUCAGCUCGGUGACGUCCCUCGUACUCUUGAUCCAGUUGAGGCCGAGGGUGAGUUGCGUCAGCAUGAUGGUGUGUUGAUGGUUAUGAUGAAGUUACCAAUGCAAGGAUUCGCCUAAGCACUACGACAAUAUGACCGAGGUGGAAAACUGUGGAGGGGGGCACCGCAACGGUUAAAGAUCAACUCUUGUGUCUAUGAGGUGUCCCCCUCCCCCAUAUAUAAAGGAGGGGAGGAGGAGGAGGGCCGGCCUCAAGGGGCGCUCCCAAGGGGGGGAUUCCUACUCCUAGUAGGAGUAGGUUUCCCCUUUCCUAGUCCAAGUAGGAGAAGAAGGAAGGAGAGGAAGAAGAGAAGGAAAGGGGGCCCGCCCCCCUUAGCCCUAGUCCAAUUCGGUUUGGGCUACGGGAGGCGCGCGCCACCUCUUGGCCUACCUCCUCUCUUCCACCACUAGGCCCAUAAGGCCCAAUAACUUCCCGACGGGGGUUUCGGUAACCCCCAGUACUCCGAAACUUAUCCGAAAUGACCCGAACCAUCCCAGUGUCCAAAUGUAACCUUCCAAUAUAUGAAUCUUUAUGUCUCGACAAUUUCGAGACUCCUCGUCAUGUCCAUCAUCUCAUCCGGGAUUCCUAAAAACCUUCGGUACAUCAAAUCACAUAACUCAUAAUACAUAUCAUCAUCGAACGUUAAGCAUACGGACCCUGCGGGUUCGAGAACUAUGUAGACAUGACCGAGACUCAUCUCCGAUCAAUAACCAAUAGCGGAACCUAGUUGCUCAUAUUGGUUCCUACAUAUUCUACGAAGAUCUUUAUCAGUCAAACCGCAUAACAACGUACAUUGUUGCCUUUGUCAUCGGUAUGUUACUUGCCCGAGAUUCGAUCGUCGGUAUCAUCAUACCUAGUUCAAUCUUGUUACCGGCAAGUCUCUUUACUCGUUCCGUAAUGCUCAUCCCGUGACUAACUCAUUAGUCACAUUGCUUGCAACGCUCAUAGUGAUGUGCAUUACCGAGAGGGCCCAGAUAUACAUCUCCGAUACACAGAGUGACAAAUGCUAAUCUCUAUCUAUGCCAACUCAACAAACACCAUCGGAGACACCUGUAGAGCAUCUUUAUAAUCACCCAGUUACGUUGUGACGUUUGAUAGGACACAAGGUGUUCCUCCGGUAUUCGGGACUUGCAUAAUCUCAUAGUCUGAGGACCAUGUAUAAGUCAUGAAAAAAUAAUAGCAAUAAACUAAAUGAUCAUACUGCUAAGCUAACGGAUAGGUCUUGUCCAUCACAUCUAAAUGGUUUUUUCUUUUCUUGAUUAAUACUCCCUCCGUCCCAUAAUAUAAGACAUUUUUUGACAUUACACUAGAGUCAAAAAACGUCUUACAUUAUAGGACAGAGGGAGUAGUAUUUGUUUUUGGAUGCUUGCAGGUGUUGGAAGAGAACUACUAGGUUGUUGUCCAAGUCACUUCUCACAAAUGUGUGACGCCUGCCCCCACGUGUGAGCCAGCGCAGCCGAAGGCGGCGCACUAACAACGAAACCUAACAAAUUAACUGGCCACACGUGCCAGCCGGUUCCCACGGGUGCGAUGCAUGCCCCCACUUGCAAGCCAGAGGGCGGCCCUACGGACGAGCCGGCAUAGGUGUACAUGAUGCACGCACUAUCUGUUGCGACCGGACCAGCUCGGCGCAUUGCCAGCGGAUGCCAACGGCAAAAUUUCGUGUUUUGACCCUUUUCUGAAACCUAUUAAAGAUCUGACCCUAGGCAGCAGAAGACAUCCUUCAAAUUGAUCACAAUCUUCUUACCCCAACUGAGACCGAGGCUUUCAAGAUGAUUGAGUUAUCCCGUAUACAAAACAAGUAUGUCACACGUGAAAAUAUUUUGUUGAAGGAGCAUAUCAUCGCACUCAAGGGCAUUAUCCGCAAGUUGGAGGACCUCCUACGCUCGAUGUGCGACUAUCCAUCAUCAACAACUCCACCUUCUUCAUAAACAAAGAAGAACUGAGUAUCUGGUAUGGGCACUCCACUUGGCAACUGCCAAGCUUGGGGGAGUGCCCCGGUAUCGUAUCACCAUCACUUCUAUCUUUACCGUUUUCCUUAGUUCGAUCCUUUUGAUAAUAUUUUGAUCUAGUAGAAUAAAACUUCUUAGUAUGAUCUAGUUGUGAGUUUUGCUUUAUGAUCCUUCUAUGUAAUCGAGUCCGUGAGCUAUAUAUAAUAAAGAUUAGUGUUGAGUCAAGGACUUGAUUAUUUUGCCAUAAUCUUGAGUGAAUAAAAGAAAAGAGAAGAAAUAAAAAGAAACAAAGAGAUCAUAUGGAUCUUAUGGAGAGUAAUGAGCUCACAUAGAAAGAGUAUGAUGAAUAAAAGUUGUUGAGAGUUGACAAACAUAGUUUUGGUCAUCGUUGCAAUUAAUAGGAAGUAAUAAAGAAAGAGAGGUCUUCACAUAUAAAUACACUAUCUUGGACAUCUUUUAUGAUUGUGAGCACUCAUUAAAAUAUGACAUGCUAAAGAGUUGACGUUGGACAAGGAAGACAAUGUAAUGGGUUAUGUUUUCUUACAUCUGAGAUAAAUUAUAUUGUCAUGGAUCAUCCAACAUGAUUGAGCUUGCUUUUCCCCCUCAUGCUAGCCAAAUUCUUUGCACCAAGUAGAGAUACUACUUGUGCUUCCAAACACCCCUAAACCAAUUUUUCCAUGAGUGUCCACCAUACCUACCUAUGGAUUGAGUAAGAUCCCUCAAGUAAGUUGUCAUCAGUGCAAGUAAUAAAAAUUGCCCUCUAAAUAUGUAUGACUUAUUAGUGUGGGAGAAAAUAAGCUUUAUAUGAUCGUAUGAUAUGGAAUAAAUAAAAGCGGCGGACUGCAUAAUAAAGGUCCAUAUCACAAGUGGCAAUAUAAAGUGACGUUCUUUCGCAUUAAGAUUUUGUGCAUCCAACCAUAAAAAUGCAUGACAACCUCUACAUCCCUCUGUGAAGGGCCUAUCUUUUUCUUUUAUCUCCUACCUUGCAUAAGAGUCAUGGUGAUCUUCACCCUUCCUUUGUACAUUUUAUCUUUUGGCAAGCACAACAUGUUGGAAAGAUCCUGGUAUAUCUGGCUAAUUGGAUGUGAAUUUUCAUGAACUAUUAUUGUUGACAUUACCCUUGAGGUAAAACGUUGGGAGGCAAAACUAUAAGCCCCUAUCUUUCUCUGUGUCCGAUUAAAACUCCAUACCCAUAAGUAUUGCGUGAGUGUUAGCAAUUGUGGAAGACUAUAUGAUAGUUGAGUAUGUGUACUUGCUGAAAAGCUCUUAUAUUGACUCUUUCCUAUGUUAUGAUAAAUUGCAAUUGCUCCAAUGACUGAGAUUAUAGUUUGUUAGUUUUCAAUGAAGUUUGUGAUUCAUACUUGAAAUUGUGAUUGAAUUGUUACUCUAGCAUAAGAGAUCAUAUGACAAGAAUUAUAUAAGUUGUUGUUUUAAGAAUGAUCAUAAUGCCCUCAUGUACGUAUUUUAUUUUUAUCGACACCUCUAUCUCUAAACAUGUGGACAUAUUUUUCGAUUUCGGCUUUCGCUUGAGGACAAGCGAGGUCUAAGCUUGGGGGAGUUGAUAUGUCCAUUUUGCAUCAUGCUUUUAUAUCCAUAUUUAUUGCAUUAUGGGCUGUUAUUACACAUUAUGUCACAAUACUUAUGCCUAUUCUCUCUUAUUUUACAUGGUUUACAUAAAGAGGGAGAAUGUCGGCAGCUGGGAUUCUGGGCUGGAAAAGGAGCAAAUAUUAGAGACCUAUAGUACACAGCUCCAAAAGUCCUGAAACUUCACGGAAGUCAUUUUUAGAAUAUAUAAAAAAUAUUGAGCGCAAGAAGUUCCAGAGGGGGCCCACACCCUGGCCACGAGGGUGGGGGCCAGCCCUACCCCCCUGGGUGCGCCCCCUGCCUCGUGGGCCACCUGGUGGCCCUCCGAUGCCCAUCUUCUGCUAUAUGGAGUCCUUCGAUGAGAAAAAAAUGAUAAGCAAGCUUUCGGGAUGAGACUCCGCCACCACUAGGCGGAACCUUGGCGGAACCAAUCUAGGGCUCUGGCGUAGCUAUUCUGCCGGGGAAACUUCCCUCUGGGAGGGGGAAAUCAUCGCCAUCGUCAUCACCAAUGAUCUUCUCAUUGGGAGGGGGUCAAUCUCUAAGUCUGGGAUUGGUACCCGUGGGUUGCUAGUAGUGUUGAUUACUCCUUGUAGUUUAUGCUAGUUGGUUUAUUUGGUGGAAGAUCAUAUGUUCAGAUCCUAUAUGCAUAUUAAUAUCCCUCUGGUUAUGAACAUGAAUAUGCUUUGUGAGUAGUUACGUUUGUUCCUGAGGACAUAGGAGAAGUCCUGCUAUUAGUAGUCAUGUGAAUUUGGUAUUCGUUCGAUAUUUUGAUGAGAUGUAUGUUAUCUCUCCUCUAGUGGUGUUAUCACUACAAAAAAAGACACAUCCGUGACAUUUUGGGCCGAACGAUAUUUUUUCUGUCAUACAUAUGACACUUCUAUGACGAUAAUUGUGACAAAACCCGGUAUCAUCAUAGAUGUGAUGGGAUCCUACGUCUAUGACAAAAAAUCAUGACAGAAAAUGGGCUUUUCGUCCGGGGCGGGCCAGAGACGCAGCUGCAUGACAUUCUUUGGGCCAUCCAUGAUGGAAAAAACCGUGGUAGAAGCGAGGGGGAGGAAAAUUUCGGGGAGUUCCCGGUUACGGUGGGAGGUCGGGGGCCGAGCGAUGCGCGUUUCUCUCGUACACGUACGCACGUGUGUGCGAGGCGUUGGCUCUAACUGAACCCGAGCGAUUGCACUGCAGGCUACGCAUUAUUGAACCCGAGCGAUCGAUCGAUGGAUGUUAACUGAACCCGAUCGAGCGAUUCCUUCGCUACUGCUGCUAAUUNNNNNNNNNNNNNNNNNNNNNNNNNNNNNNNNNNNNNNNNNNNNNNNNNNNNNNNNNNNNNNNNNNNNNNNNNNNNNNNNNNNNNNNNNNNNNNNNNNNNNNNNNNNNNNNNNNNNNNNNNNNNNNNNNNNNNNNNNNNNNNNNNNNNNNNNNNNNNNNNNNNNNNNNNNNNNNNNNNNNNNNNNNNNNNNNNNNNNNNNNNNNNNNNNNNNNNNNNNNNNNNNNNNNNNNNNNNNNNNNNNNNNNNNNNNNNNNNNNNNNNNNNNNNNNNNNNNNNNNNNNNNNNNNNNNNNNNNNNNNNNNNNNNNNNNNNNNNNNNNNNNNNNNNNNNNNNNNNNNNNNNNNNNNNNNNNNNNNNNNNNNNNNNNNNNNNNNNNNNNNNNNNNNNNNNNNNNNNNNNNNNNNNNNNNNNNNNNNNNNNNNNNNNNNNNNNNNNNNNNNNNNNNNNNNNNNNNNNNNNNNNNNNNNNNNNNNNNNNNNNNNNNNNNNNNNNNNNNNNNNNNNNNNNNNNNNNNNNNNNNNNNNNNNNNNNNNNNNNNNNNNNNNNNNNNNNNNNNNNNNNNNNNNNNNNNNNNNNNNNNNNNNNNNNNNNNNNNNNNNNNNNNNNNNNNNNNGUGGAGGGGUGCCCGUGGAGGGGUGGUUGAACUGGACCCCGUGGUGUGGAGGGCUGGAUGAACAGUAGACGGUGGAGGGGUGGUUGAACAGUAGCCGGUGGAGUAACGCGCGGUGGAGGCUGGAUGAACAGGAGCCCGUGGAGGCUGGAGGAGGUCGACGGUGGAGAUGAACAGUAUCCCGUGGAGUCCCGUUUUGCGGUACGCCACACCCCUCCCAGUAAACAGGACCCCCGUUUCGACCGUAGCGCUCCAACACAAGUCAGUUUCCUCCAUUUUGCGGUACGCCACACCCCUCCCGAUCAACAGGACCCCCGUUUCAACCGUAGGAGGUCCGUUUCCUCCGUUUUGCGGUACGCCACACCCCUCCCGAUGAACAUGAUCCCGUUUCGAACAUGGCCAGUCGAACACAAGGCCGUUUCCUCCAUUCUGCGGUACGCCAGGCCUCGUUUCCAUCGCCUAUUCCGUCCAAGCCCUCCCGAUGAACACAACGCAUUCCGUUGCCUCCCCAUGAACACGACGCAUUUUGUUGCCUCCCCAUGAACACGACACAUUUCGUUGCCUCCCCAUGAACACGACGACGACGCUGUUUCUCAGUUCCGACCCAGCCUUGUACAUGAGCCCUCGUCGUACGUAUGCGCGAGUAGGCAUUCGAGACCCCGCCCGUAUGUACACAUACGUGGCCGUAUUUUCUUUCUUGCACCCUGACCGCUGUACAUACGUGUACAUGCUACGUGCGCGCCUCUACUACGACACAUGCGCGCCUCGACAUCGACCAGUAUAUAUGUACGUACACGUUCGCGACCAGAAUGACAACGCUACGUACGCUUCGACCAGGUAGGUCCCGACUGCCAGGCACUUCCUUGCAUGCGAAGAUGUAGCUGGUGGGUCCCAGCAGUCAAGGCACUACUAGGGACAAGCCUAUACACAGAAUCUUACCAGCAGCGCGCUUUAAAAUCAGGCGCUGCUGCUAAGUAGCAGUAGCGCAGGUUUUUAACCCUCGCUACUACUAAGUUGAUAGCAGUAGCGCUGGUUUUUUAGCCUCGCUACUACUAAGCGGUCACUACCGUGCCCCUCGGGACAUGCCAUAGUAGUAGCGCGGGUUUUUAACCCUCGCUACUCCUAAGUUGAUAGCAAUAGCGUUGGUUUUUACCCCUCGCUACUACUAAGCUGUCUCUACCGUGCCCCUGGGCCAUGCCAUAGUAGUAGCGAGGGUUAUAAAACCGUGCUACUACUAAGUUUUUACCCCUCACUACUACUAAGAGGUCUCAACCGUGCCCCUCCGGGACAUGCCAUAGUAGUAGCGAGGGGUAAAAUCCCUCGCUACUACUAAAGGUGCCAUUUUGAAACUCUACCCCCCUGGAUCGCCUUUUGGGUUUUGUAAAAAGCAAAAGAAAAUGAUAAAAACUUCAAAAAUUAAAAUCCUUCUAGAUUUAGUUAUGUUACUACAUCUACUAGUUAGGAAAAUUUAAAAACUUAAAUUUGGACAUGUUUUGCAAAAAGUGUCGGGAAAAUGUAAAACGGCUAUAACUUUUGCAUACGAUGUUAGAAAAAAACGUAUAAUAUAUCAAAAUGUUUCAAAAAUUAAAAUCCUUUGAGAUGUAGUUAUGUUACUACAUCUACUAGUUAGGAAAAUUUAAAAACUUAAAUUUGGACAUGUUUUGCAAAAAGUGUAGGGGAAAUGUAAAACGGCUAUAACUUUUGCAUACAAUGUCAGAAAAAAACGUAUAAUAUAUCAAAAUGUUUAGCACGAAAAUCUGCAUACGAUGUAGACAGCUACGGCCUAUUUGCAAAUUUUUAGAAUCCUCAAAUUCUAAAAGGAAAAAAAAUUAUGCUCAAAUUUCAGUUUUUUUAAUUUUGGUCAAAUCUGGUCAAACUGUGGUCAAACUAAUUCAAGAAGUAUUAGUGUUACUAAAUAAUUAUUUCAGUUUUUGGAAUUUUGGUCAAAUCUGGUCAAACUGUGGUCAAACUUUGGUCAAAAUGUGGUCAAACUCCUUAUUCAAGAAAUAUUAGUGUUACUAAAUAAUUAUUGUUUUUUAGAACAAUUGUUUUAAACUCAAACAGCAAAAUGUGUGACUUCAUGCUCAAGCUAAACUCCCGAGGGUUAAUAGGAUUGACAUCUUACUAUUGUCAGGAAAGCAACAAGUGCAGACCUGGAAUCGAGGGAGAAUAGAACCCGGAAGUUAAGCGUGCUCAGGCUGGAGUGGUGAGAGGAUGGGUGACCGUCCGGGAAGUUAGAUGAUUUGGAAUGAUGAGGGGUGAUUAGAGAUAAAAUUGAGCAGCGAUGAGGGUGAUUAGAUAUUAGAGGUUAAAAUAAUUCAGAAAUUUGAAAAUUCGCGCAAAAAAUUCGAAAAAAAAUUCUGCGGGUUAGUAGUAGCAUGGGUUUUUAACCACACUACUACUAACGGACGUAGUAGUAGCGCGGGUGGCACCCGCGCUGCUGCUAUACGUUAGCUGUAGCGCCUUAUUAGUAGCGCCGGCCCACGCGCUGCUAAUAGGCCCAAAACCCGCGCUGCUGCUAGGCUCUUCCCUAGUAGUGAGGAGGGGAAUUGUUUUAUUUUGUUUUGCCCGGACGCACUUCCUUCCGUCCGAAGGUGUAGCUAGUGGGUCCCAGCAGUCAGGGGGGAAACGUUUUUUUCGUGAAAUACGGUGGCCCGUCUGGUGGUCCCCGCUGUUAGGUGGAGGAAUAAUUAUUUUGCACAUAAUAAGGAGGCACUUCCUUGCUGCGGCCGUGGACCCAGGUGUCAGCCACUCCACGUACAGUCCACGUCCGAUGGAAGUCGUUCCUUGACCACGUUGACCACGCUGCACCGAGAGCACCAGGGCAGUGGACGACGGCGAGGCCUAGGAAGGGGACGACGAGGAGCUAGGGAAGACGCGGCAGUGGAAGCCUGUGCGGAGAGGAGUACGAGGGUUCACUGGUUCGGCUACGGUGUGAGGCUGCCGUCACCGCAGGGCCUGGCCAGCGGUGGGAAUAGUAGGGGGCGGUGAGGCGUCCGCAGCAGCACAGCCGACCAUGGGAGGCAGGAGCAUGCGGCACGACCGGCGCAACUUUGGGCGGCUGGAGCAAGAAGACCAGAGGUUGAAGAAGCACUACGGCUGUUGGAUGGACAUCGUACAGUCACUGGAGCUAGAAUCGUUCAUAUUGAUUAAAGUUGACAAAGGCCCCCGUCCCAGUCAACUUAGUAGGCCCACAAGUCAGCCUCCCACCAUGGUGGGUCCCAGCUAGCAGGGGGGUAUUCAUUUUUUUGUGCGUAAUAAGGAGGCACUUCCGGUGGGUCCGAGCUGAUAGCGGGGGGGACGUUUUUUUCGCGAAAUACGCUGGCCCGUACGGUGGGUCUGAGCAGUCAGGGGGGAAACGUUUUUUCGCAAAAUAAGGUGGCCCGUCCGGUCAGUCCCUGUUGUAAGGUGGAGGAAUAAUUAUUUUGCGCGUAAUAAGAAGGCACUUCCUUGCGGCUGCAUGGACCCAGCUGUCAGCCUCUCCACGUACAGUACUCUUCCGAUGGAAGUCGGUCGUUAACCACGUUGACCACGCCGCGCCGAGAGCACUAGGGCGGUGGUCUGGACGAUGGCGAGGCCUAGGAAGGGGACGACGCGGAGCCGGGGAAGACGCAGCAGCGGAAGCCCGCGCGGAGAGGAGUACGAGGGUUCACUGGUUCGGCUGCGGUGUGAGGCUGCCGUCGCCGCAGAAUAACAGGGGGUGUGCGUGAGUGGAGGGAUGGCCUGGCCAGCGGUGGGGGUUGUAUGGGGGCGGUGAGGCCUCCGCGGCAGCACAGCCGGCCACGGGAGGCAGGAGCAGGUGGCACGACCGGCACUGCUUUAGGCGGCUGGACCAAGAAGACCAGAGGUUGAAGAAGCACUAAGGCCGUUGGAUGGACAUCGUACGGUCAUUGAAGCUAGAAACGUUUAUUAUUGACUAAGUUGACAAAGCCCUUGGUACGCUCCAACUUAGUAGGCCCACAGGUCAGCCUCCGAAACAGUGUGCCCCAGAUGUCAAGGAGAGGAAUCAUUUUUUGGGCGGCCGAAGCUAAGAAUAUCCGAGAUUGAAGAAGAAGCACGACAUCCGUUGGAUAGACAUCCAACGUCCACUGCUGCUAGAACCGUGUGUUGACUAUAAUAAGUUGGCAAAGCCUUGCAUACGCGUCAACUUAUUUUUUUAGGGGACACGUCACUUAGUAGGCCCACAAGUGUGUGGCAGAGAACUUAUAGCCCAUUUGCGUUUUUGUAAGAAUGUACAGCCCAUUUUGGAAUUCUAAUGGAAUUUACAACAGCCCAUUUACAGUUUGUUAAAAGUACAGCCCAUUUUCUAGCUAGGAAAAUGAUUAAUAAUUUCAACCAACCGUUGAAGACCGAAUUCAACAAAAUUUCCCACAUUUUGAUGGGCUCCAAAAUAUUUUUAUCCUGAAAUUUUUAGUCAGAUUAAAUAUAAAUUUGUAUUAGGUAAAAAUCCAAUGAAACAUUGCGCGCGCAACAAUGAAAAUUUAAGAUUUUCAAAAUCCAUAAAUAAUAUUUUAUAAACUAAUUUCGUGUUUGGUGCAUUUUUUAUAGUUACUGCCUAGUUUUUAUAAUUACAUCCCAUUUAUUAUUUUUUAAAGCCCAUUUUCCUGUUAAGCCUAAUGUAUCCCUCCUAGGAAAGAUUUGCAGCCCAGCGGGGUGGAGAAUAACAAGUUCACUUUGCCUCGGUAUUCCUCAAAAAGACGUAUAGCUGGGCUAGCCAUUUUCAUCUUGAAAAAAUUAGUAUCUGGGCUGGAUGUCUGGCCUGGGCUAGACGGGCCACAACCCGCCUAGUUAAUACCCUGCUCUCCUCUGAAAAACAACGAAAUCAUCGCCAAGAAAAACUCUGCAGUGCUCACGCUUCAAAAAGACAAAUACUGCUUGAGCUGCUUGGUCCCAGCUGUCGGCCGCACCUUGUGCAAUUCUCUCGUUUAUAUUGACUACAUAGGUUGACAAUGGUGUGGGACCGUGAUGUCAGGAAACCAGGAGAAAGCAAAAAACAUAUAGUUGUACAUAAUAAGGAGGCACUUGCGUACGUACGGCUAUGGCCCUAGUGGGUCCCUAGUGUCAUCCAGUCAAAAUAAAGUCAUCUCCUGAAUCCUCAUGUUCGUUGACGAUGUUAACAAUGCUCGGCGCCACGGCGAGCGCAACAACUCGAAGGACAACGGAGAGGGCCUCGCGGGCCCUACGGAUGGUCUGAUACAGCGCCCGCUACUCAUUCAGGAAGCCAGGAUCAUCGGACACCUAUGAGCACCUUCGAGAAACUGAGACGGCAUGAAACGGUAAGGCCGCGCUUGGGAGCUCUGGUUUAUUUCAAACCUGUAUUAACAUACAAGUGUAAUUUACUCAUCAUCGAAAACAACGCGUAAAAUAUAGGCGUAAUGAAACCGAGGGCCCGAGGUCCAUAAGUAAAACCGGCGGGUUACGCGUGUAAUUUGAGAGACCAGUGUAUUUUAUGAGCACUGCUAUAUGGACGACAUUACCAGACGAGUGUCACCUCCAGAAGGACCAACUCUACGACCUCGCCAACUCCAGCACGUACGCACCUAUCCCCUGCGGCUCCCCUGCCUGCACGGAGCUCGGUAGCAGCCACAGCAGUGGUUGCUCCGCCGGCUCCGACCAAUGCAAGUAUAUCCUCGACUACGGCGACGACAGGGUCACCGCCGGGACAUACAUCAGCGACACGCUGAACUUGUCGCCCACCAUCGCGGUCAAGGGCUUCCGGAUCGGGUGCAGCCACGCCGUGAGGGGCAC